GUCAUUCAGAAAUUAUAUGUCAACAUACCUCUGCUCGAUGCCAUACAGGUACCUACAUUUGCAAAGUACAUCAGAGAUAUUCUUAACAAGAAGAGACCACUGCCCACCACUGAGGUUAUCAAGCUGACAGAAGAAUGUAGUGCGGCCAUCCUCAAUAAGCCACCAAAGAAGAAAGAAGAUCCCGGAUGUCCCACUAUUGAUUGCUCGAUCGGAAACCAACACUUCAACAAUACACUUUGUGAUCUCGGAGCAAGUGUCAGUGUGAUGCCAACAUCAGUCUACAAAAAGCUUGAUCAUGCAACCUUAGAACCAACAUCAAUGUGCCUACAACUAGCGGAUCAAUCGGUUCGACACCCGUUGGGCAUCGCCGAGAACAUUCCAGUCAAGAUCAGAGAUUUCCUUGUGCCAGUAGACUUCGUAGUACUGGACAUGAGUCCUGACUCAAAAGUGUCCAUCAUCCUUGGAAGGCCAUUUCUGAGCACUGCCAAUGCCCACAUUGAUGUCGGAAAAGGAGAAAUCAAGUUCAACAUAAACGGUCAAGAAGAACACUUCACAUUCAAACCCAGACCAGAGAGAGACUCUACAGUGAAGGAAGUUCAUGAAGAACCACUAGGAACACCAUCUCCGGAGGAAGGUAACUCAGAAGAUUAAAAGAUUUGGAGGUCCAGCUUGGGGGACCUAAAAAUCCCAAACCCUCACCGGGAGGUAAAUCGGUAUUUACCUGCAUUAUUAAUUUUCUCAUAUUUAAAUUCUUGCAUAAUUAAUUCUUGCAUUAGUCACAUAUAUUCAUAGCAUGAUUAUAAGCCCCAUAUAAAUAAUAUUCGUGGUGUGUAACAACCCAUAUUUAUUAAUUAUUGUGGAGGCACAAAAAUAUUUUCCAUUAUCAUUUUCAUUAAGUUUUAAUUCUCAUAGAUUUUCCUGCAUUAUAUUUAUUUAUAUUGAUCUUCUAGAAGCAUGACCCACACUCUUUGGGUCCCACAUGUCAUACACUUCACCUCACAUACAUCCCAUCACAUAAUUUCAUCCACCAAUAUGUUUCCACUCACUUAACAUCUUUCCACCGUCCAACCACUACCAACACAAUAUUAUUCUGCGUGAGAUCAAAGCAAGGAAGCAUGUGGAGGAGGCACACCCAGGAUGGACACCAGGGGUGGGCGCCUGCCCACCUACCAAGGGCGCCCGCCCUGUCCCCUGCUCAGCUUAUAAAAGGCCACCUCCAGCUCCCCUUCUCUUCACACAAACACUCCAGAAAACCACACAAGUUUCAGUUUCCCAAGAAGGAGCUCUUGUAGUGAAGAGAAGAGAGUAGAGAGAAAGUGGAGAGUGGAAGGGAAGGUUGGAGUUCUUUUGAGAGAGUGAUUAUCACCUAGCAAGUAGUGAUCCCGUUGUCUAAGCGGAAGUAAAAGUUGUUUAGGGGGAGGCUCUACCAAAAUAGAAAUUUGUCUUGAACGAUUAACCCCUGGACUACUGACACUCCGGACAGCUGACCACUAACAUUUUAUCUCACAUUUUCCACUAGUUGUGUUUUGGCCAACUUUUGUUUGCAGGAUGUUUAAGAAGGUGAAGAAUGCAGGGAAGGCUCUCAAGAACAUUGGUACAAGGAGUUCAGCCCGACACUCCUCACAGCCAUUAGAGAUGAGCGUCGACCCGACACCCACACAAGCUCCAUCAUCUUCAUUAGGCCAGCAAGUCAAGGUCCUUCUCAAGAUAGGAGACCUUGGACUGAAGACCCGAAGAGAGAAGGAAGUUCAUCAGCAAUUGAAGAACAAAGAUUUCAUUCACACCCCUACUAUCGAUCCAAUCCUACUACGAGAAACAGGUAUGGACACUGAAUUCGACUUAAUUUUUCAGAUGAUGGGUUGCACAAAUUUUUGGAAUAUAACUGAGCUGGGUUCUCGUCUUCUCACCCUCGAAUUUCUUUGCACCUUACAAUAUUAUGAGGGGGGAAUUGUUUUUCGGAUGUUCAAACAGGAAAUUAUGUUGUCUUGGAGAGAGCUGAGCGACCAUCUUGGUUUCUCUUCAAGAUGCAUCCUGAACAUUGACUCCGAUUUACCCAACUUUGAGAGACACCAGUUUUGGAGAGAAAUAUCUAGAGAUAAUUUUUAUAGUCAAGCCCGAACCAGUGAUAUGGAACACCCUACUCUUAGAAUGUUCCACAAAUGGCUUGGGUACAAUCUUUUCUAUCGUGAUGAUAUUAGGAAAGUAAGAGUAGGAGAUUUACAACUUUUAUAUGCUGCUAUUAGUAAAGUACCCACUUCACCUAUUACACUAUUAGUUUCACAUUGGCUUAGUAUACCUAGUCUUCAGGGACCAGUAGGAUGUACAUCACUUAUCACUCGUCUAUCCUCUAAUCUUCACUUACUAGAAAACUCAUCAUUGGACUUCAUAGAAGAAUUAAGAAUUUAUCAUGGCUAUGACACAUUUAGACAAGCUCGGAUGUUAAAGAAAGAGGGAAAUAUAAUGUAUAUGCUAUAUGAUGAUAAAGGCAAGAUUCAGUUACCUAACCCGAACCUUGGCCUCUACUCUGUGCAAAACUUUUUGAUUGAGAUUGCAGCAACACCAGUAAACCAGAGAACUCCACAGCGAGUGGCAUCUGAAAGGAUAACCACUCACCGAGAACGCACUUGGUAUGGAGCUGACUCUGGACCAGAAGAAGCAGCGCACCUGCAUUAUUGCGAUUACAACCCUCGAGUCCUUCGAGACCCAUGGGCUCGUCAUGCGCAACCACAAGAGCCAACAGAGGAGACAUGGCCAGAAAGCCAAGAUCACCAGUGGACAAACCCGCCUUUUCAUACGGGCAGGUACUCCACUGAUCCAUAUGGAGCUUCAGGAUCCAGACCUCCACCCCAAUUUGAUGCAGGACGAUACUCCGACGCCUCCUACGCCUUCACGAAUGACUACUAUCAAGAGGCCGGUGCUUUCUUCACUCGUACCGACAACACCCUCCUCGACAUCUAGAACACGCAAGCAGAACAUGGAAGACUCCUGGAAGAACAACAAAAAUGGAACCAGGACCAUGCCGCUGCAGUGCAAGAGCUGAGACAAGAUACAACAACAAUGAACGACAACAUCACAACCAUGAUGCGGUUCUGGAAUAUCGGAUAAGACCGACGUCAACAUCCAGCUUGGGGGAGUUCCUCCCCAACUUAUCAAGUAAGUUUUUAUUUGCUUUUCUUAUUUAUUCUAUUCUGUCUUAGUAUUUAAUUUAUCUUAAAAGGAAAAAAUUUAGAAAACCAAAUAAAUAUUUUCUUGCUUUAAUUUACUGCACUUUAUAAACAUGAAAACAAAAUAAAAAGAGUGUGUAGAUAAGUGUGCUUUAUUUUUCUGCUAAGUUUAAUCUCUAGAAGAAAAUAAAAAGACCAAAAAAAUGCAUGAUGGAAAUGAUGAACAGUUGCUCUGUUUGCUUACUUACAAGUACCUAGCUUUUAUUAGAAUUCUUCCAGGAAUUACUAAAACUAAAAUUACUAUCUUUGGAAAGCAUAAAACUAAAGUCUAGAGUCUAGGUAAGAGAAAGGCAUGAUAUAAAGUUGAGCUACUGUUUAUCUUGUUUCUACUACACUAAGUUCUGGAGAUUUAUUUUGAAAACUUACAAAUCACAUGAUGAGUUCCUAGCAUAACAAAACUACCUACCACAGCCAUACUUGCUAUAACAUCUUUUACUAUAUUUACAUUGAGUUUGAUCGAGCUGUGUGGACCCUUAGGAGCUUUUCAUGUGGUUAAAUUAAGAUAUUCACUUGCACACAUCUACCACAGCAUUCAUCAUUUAUUAAAAUUGCUAAAAAAAAUAUAUAUUUUCACUCACUGUCCCAAGUAUUGUUAUUCUCUCUCUAAAAAGAUUCAAUGCAGAACAGGCAUGGGUUAUGCAAAAAUAUGCGAGGAAAUAAAAAGGGGCAAGUGCCCGGAACCUCGGAAAAGAAAGAAAAAGAGUGAGACGAGAGGUAAAAAUGGACAAGUGUCCGAAGUAGAAUUAGGGGUACAAAGAUGCCCACUUGAGCGGAAAAAAUAGACAAGUGUCCGACAGUAGAAUUAGGGGUAUCUACUACCCACCUGAAAAAAAAGGGAGAUAGCCCAUGUUCUCCCAAAGCAAAGAUCAAAGAGGAGGAGAGAUAGCAAUAUAAGGAGCAAUGAGAACUAAAUUUUAUCACUUAUGCAUUUUCACAAUCACUAUCAUUUACUCCAUCACACAUGCACAUCUUGAUUUAAUUAUAUGCUGAGUUCCUUUGGAUCCAUGGCUCGAUUAGACAACAUAUGUAUGAGCUGUUUUUCACUCCUAUGAGCUCCACUUAAAUAUUCUAUUAGCUAUAGGCAAGUGAUAUCAUGGUAAGGAUCCACAAAUACCACAUAUAGAGAGACUUGAGAGAAUCAUUGCUGGGAACUCUGAGUUUUAUUUUGAAAAAAAAACUUAUGAAAAACUCUGGAACAAAGGUGAAGUAUAGACAGGAGGAAUAGUGCUUGGCUUAAUUAUUUUGUCUUUCGAUUACUUAAGAUUUAAGUGCAGGUACUAAACUCCAUAACACUUCACUCUAAUCUGGAAGAAUUUUUAUGUAAAAGCAUGUGUGCCUGUCACGGAAGAAAACAUCGAAGCAACUCCUGAUCCGUCUGAGUUUAGCUGUUUGCUCAGGGACGAGCAAAGGGUAAGCUUAGGGGAGUUUGUUGACGGUCCUUAAGUACUAAAAUUAAUAAUCAAAUAAACAUGAAAAAGGAUCAAGAUGAAACAAACAUCUAGAAUUAGGGUUUUAUCUGACAGAAUUCCACGAGCUUUGGUGUUUAUCUAUUUCUGCAGGGGUUUAUCAGAAAAUAUGGAGAGAAGGCCCACAUGUCAUGUUUACAACGAGAUAAUUAUGUGCCGCGCAAUUUUCCUUGAUCUAGAAGGGUCCAGAAGCCACGGGAACGAACGGGAAGCGAUUCGGGCUCGGGGGCAGGGCGCCCGCCCACCCCCCUUGGGCGCCCGCCCAGGGUUGGAGGCCAAACAGGACUCUGCUUCGGGGCAAGGCUCCACCGACCUAAAGGAUCAAUCUAAACCAUACAAUCUAUGUCGGGGCCCCUGGAGGAGAGGAGGAGAAAUCAUUAUUCAGAGGUAGCCAUCAAAGUUAGGGUUUAGAGUUUCUCUCCCACAGAGAAUUAGAAUUAGCUACUCCCUAAUCCUUCAAGUUUAGAGGUUUGAUUAGAUAGCAAUUAGAGAAGUAGAGCACUACGCUCUGGAUUGGGAUCUUCGGUAAUAAAGAUUGGUAUUAUUCAUAUCUUUCUCUAAUUCUAUCGUUCUAAUUGCAUUAUGUCUUUAAUUAUUAUGUUCUUAGUUUGCUCUAGUUCUAUAUUUGAUAUAGUUCUAAUUGAUAAUGAGUUUAUGUAUAAGUUUGCAAAGCGCUUAGCUCUUGACGCGAGGGAGUUAGGUGAUAGAUCACAUGUGAGCGUGGUGCUUAGAUGUUAUUUAUCUGCAAAUGUAUCCUAUUGGCCGAGUCGUGUGGUAGUUCGCGAUAGUGACAGCUUCGUUGAUUCUUAUAUAGUCCACCCUCCGUUGAUAGGACAGGCAGAACCGGUAUUGUGGAGUAAGUCAUGCUAUGCUCUGAUUUACUUUAUCAGUGUUCCUUAUACAUAAAUGAAGAGUCUUUUAUGCUAUACAUGAUCUUGUAGAUAACUAGAGUAGAUUAUGACUUAGUAGUUAGUAGAUAACUUAGAAUCUAUUCUCUAGCUAAUCCGACAUCACCUACAUAUAUGAGGAGUAGUCUAUUUUCUAAUCGCUGUGCUCUUUAUCCCAUGAACUUAUACUUUAUUAUCAUUAUCUUUAUGGUUUACCCCCUGCUAAAGUAAGUGACUGUGUGACGAGUUUCUCAUUAGUAAUCAUGUUCUUGCAAAUUUAUCUCUAGUCUAUGCCUUGAUAGAUUUUGCCCCUUGAUUUAAUUCCAUCUUCUUGAGAUCCCUUGAGCAAAAUUAUAAAUAACGAUACCUGGAAUACUUAUCCUGGUGAAAUGCUACAAUGAGGUGUUUUAUCUGUGCGCUUGCGGAUAGAAUAGAUUAUUUUCUAGAGAGCCUUUACAUUUAUAAAUACCUUUGUACACUCUGGCGCCAUGCUAGGGAUGACAACCUAGUAUCUAAGUGGUGUUAGCUAGUGUCAACAAGCAUUUCUGGCGCCGUUGCCGGGGAACUUAUAGGAUAUUAUACGAGUCUCAGGAAUAAGUCAUAAAAGGGAACAAAAGGGUAAUACUUAGGAAAGCCAGAAAAUCAGUCAAGGUUAUUCAUAUAAAAUAUUAGACUAGACUAUAGAGAAAUAAUUGCAUAAAAACAGCUACUAAUUGAGAAAUCAUAACAAGGCACCUCUGCUUUGGCAGGUUCACCCUGUUGUUUUUCUAUGUUUAUAUUUUUAUAUAGGGAAUCUCAGGAUUGACCUUGGGUACAUUCAACUCUUCAUCAUCAGAACCAAAGCAAUCAAGAGAAGAAGAAGCUAGCUACCAAUUGCUGAAGCUGUGGCACAAAAGACCUUGCAAGAAUUCUCUGCUCCAAGCCUUGAGAACAUUCCAACUGGUCCAAGAUUUGCAGUGGAAGAAGGAAUACCUGAGUUUGAGCUCAAGUCAAGCCUCAUCAAUUUGGUACAAGCUACACAAUUCAGUGGAAAGGCACAUGAAGAUGCCAGUGCACACUUGCAGAAUUUCUUAGAGAUUGGAAGCACAAUCCACAUCAACGGAGUUGACAAAGACGUCAUACUGCUUCGCCUCUUUUUGCAGUCUUUCGAGGUCUAUUAGAUUGAUUGUUUUGCCUUGUUUGUCGCUUACGAGGCAGUUGCUUCGGUUAGCGUUGAUUGGAUCAGAACCUAUCAUAGGAAGAACAUGUGGAUGGAAUGACCUUAGAUGAGAAUGACUACAAGUGCACUGUGAAUCUCGGCAAUGGCAUCCAACAGGUGCCACGUCCCACCCAACCUCGUAGAACCCUAUUAGACAUGCAAAUAUAGAUGCUAGUGCUUUACUUUUAUGCAAAUGAACUGUGAUAGGUUGCAUGGUAGUUUUGCUUGUGAGCUAUUACCUUCAUGCAACCUAUAACCCUUGUACACCUGCUAUUAGGUUAGAUGUUGCAUACUACUUGCUACUGCUUCUACUAUGCAUUAUAUCUGUGAUGUGAUGCAUUGUGGAGGAUUGGAUGUGAGUGGAUAAGGCACGCGGAUGCCGAUAACUGGAUAAGGAAUGGAUAAUGGACUUUGGGAGAUCUUGGCGUGUGUCUUGGGUGUGUAGUGAGGGUCGAGUCGACCGAGUAGGAUCUACGACGAGUCUUGAGACAAGUCUUGUCGGGGAACACUACCUGGGCGUUCUCCAAGAGAGAUACCUAUGGUGGGUACAUGUGAUAGGGAGAGGUCCCCAAGUGGAGUGUCUUUGUGGGACGAAGUGCCGGGAUGGGAGGUGCUGUUUAGAACGGGGUAGGCGGAUGACAUGUUGAGCAGGGCAUCAGUUGGCCCCUCAUGAAGAUGUCCUAUUUGGUCACCCUAAGGACUGUUAUGUUCUAUGGACCGGGUCUCAGGAAACCUUACACGCCACUCGCCCUUACCAUGGAAACGAGAUGGAUGUACGACCAGCUAGGGCGGUGCCACAACUACUAGGUGGUUAGCAGAUAGUGUAGGAAUGUAUGAGCAUGAGGAUCCACACCCUCCUAAGACAAUGUAGUGACCUUUGGGAGCCUAGUACUAUGUCUCACAGUCUCAGCAUGCCAGUGGUACUCUGGUAUGGCCCUAGUUCUGAGUGGUAGUGUGGCAUCAUAUUUAGUUGGAAUGCAUGCCAAAAUCUGCCUAGACGGGGGCCACCAUCGAUGAUGGUGAUCUUGUGGUUAGUGUAAACCUCUACAGAGUUUUGGUUGAUCGAUCGAUACAUAUGCCGAUUCUUUGGCUAUGGACCUUUCCUAAGUAAAGCUUCACUUGACUAGUGAAAGGAGUCCUUUCUACCUUCCCCUGGGUGUGUUGUUGGAUUCGGCAUUGGGCUUACUGCCUAGAGAGUGAGAGUGUGGAGACAUGUGUGGAAUGGGAUGGAAGGAUGUGUGGAUGAGAUGGAUUAAAACUUGAUGAAUUGUUAUUAUAAAAAAUUAUUGAACUUGCAUAGGAAAACUACAGCCAUAUAUAUAGGCCUUUUGAUAUACCCUUUGCAUUUCCACCUACCACAAAGCAACGCAAAAGCAUAGGGUGGGAGCUAGUGGCUAGUAGAAAUCAUACUAAAAAUUGUUUAGGAGGUUUUGGAUGUGAUCUACGAUGUGAUCUACAAACAAUAGAAGCAUUAGGUGUGUUGACGGUUCUUAAGUAUCAAUUUUAAUUAUCAAAUAAACAAGAGAAAGGACCAAUAUGCAAACAACACCUAGAAUUAGGGUUUGAUCUGAUAGAAUUCCACGAGUUUUGUUGUUUAUCUGUUUCUGCAGGGGGUUAUCAGGAAAUAAGGAAAAAAGGCCCACAUAUCGGGAUUACAUAGAGAUAUUAACGCACCGCAUAAUUUUGUACCAUCUAGAAGACUCCAGAAGCCACGGGAACGAAGCGGAGGCAGAACGGGGCCUCGCCUAGGGUGCCCGCCCUAGAGACCAGGGCGGCCGCCCCCCUUUGGAGUCCAAUCAGGACUAUCUUCACGGAUCACGCUCCACCGACCUAAAGGAUCAAGGAUAACCGUUCAAUCAAUGUUGGUUGGAUCCAACGGCCCAUGUUCACCUGAGCGGACUAUAUAAGCAGACCCCCUGGCACCUGGAGGAGAACAAGUUCAUCAUAGAGUUGAGAGGAGCCCUUGAAGGAAUACCUCUCCUCUAAAUAGACUUAGGGCUUACCAUCCAAUGUGAGUAGAAUUAGUUCUUCUAAGUUCUACUAGAUUGAGAGAGAUAGAGUGGAGGUGUAGAUCGAAGGAAGCCCGACCUGUCGGUGUCUACUCCGAGGUUGUAGCUACGGUAUCAAGCUCUCCUAACCCGAAGCUUGCUCCUAGGAUUCUUCAGUAUUUCGACUUCUAAAUUCUAGUAAGUUCUUGUUUUAUUGUUCUUUGGUUUAUGAGUUUACUUUAAUCUCUUCGCGUAGAGUUUAGAGUAAUCAUCUCUAGCGUAGAUGUGGUGUUUGGGCUAGGAUACUCAUAGAUUUCCCCUGACUAGCUGGACCGUGGUAGUAGCGAGGAACGUGACAUUUUCAAGUUACCUUUGCAGACCAUAUCUCGUUAGCAGGAAGGAUAGGGUUUAUAGGUAUGGGUUGAACAUCCUCUGUGGUGUCUAGAUUCCGUAAGCUCCCCCAAUAGAACAGUAGAUCAUCCUUACCAAGGUUAGAAAGAGAUUACGGUUGUAGUCUUCUCUAUAUAUCACUCACAUCGAGAAACAUUCUUUGUAGCCUAAAGGUUAGUAGUAAUAGACUGGGUUAGUCAGAUGCACUCUUUCUCCUAGUGGUAAAAAUAUAAAUACGAUACUCUGGAUAACAUCCCGGGUGAAGUGCUCACCGAUAUCCGUGCGCUUGUGGAUCAAUUCCUUAUUGCGUUCCCAAAUAUCAACAAGGUGGUCCCAUUCCUACGCUCAAGUUUGGUUCAGAGAUGAAGGCUACUCCCGCUAACAACUACGCCGACUCUGAUGAUUGCCCGUGAAGGAGGAGCCUUCACCACUAACAUGCUACAUCAACUCUGAUAAAGUCCCACAUGUGUUUCCACUAGAAAAACGAUGUAAUAGGCUUGUUAACCAAGAGUUGUAAAGUAAAUGUGUUGUAAUCUUGUUUUCCACGUUGUAUGACUAUGAUAACAGCUGAUAUAUGAUAAUGUGAUGGCUCAAUUUCUGAAUUAUCACAUUAUAAUUUGAAUGUGUGGAUUUUCCCCUUUGUGGAAAAAUCUUGGUCGUUUCACUUGGUGGCCUAUGUGGUGGUGCUUAGGAGCCCUCUAACUCACAUAUGCUUGAUAGUGAUCAUCCAAUUGUGUGAGUGAGCGAUUCUAGUGCGAUUGCAUGGUGAGGUUGCAUCGAGUGGCACUAGAUGUUUAUGUUGCAAGCUGGUGGUGCUUGUUACUCUAGGAGGUUGCCACCUCCUAGAUGGCUUGGUGGCUUGUGGCUCUGUGAAAGCACACAAGGAGAUUAUGUGGUGCUCCAAAGAAGAGAUAGUGAGGGGCAUUGUGCUUGCCCCAUGGGGAUCGUUAAGAGAAACUCUAGUUGAGUCUGUCAUUGAGCUACACACUUGCGGUAGAUUCUUGUGGUGCCCUACGUGAGGGCUCGGUUUGUGGGAAUACUGAUUAGUCGCCGAACCACGAAGUGUUGGUCGACACAAUGGGGACGUAGCUUGGUGGCAACCAAGUGAACCUCAAGAGAAAAUCAUCAUAUCAAUAUUGUUCUUACCGUUAGUUUGCAAGUCCCUAACGUAAGCUAAUAUUUACAUUUAUAUACUUGUGCUUAUGUAGUUGCUCUUGUAAUUAGUUAGCUUAUGUAGCUUGCUAGUUACCUUAUUGCUUGUGUAGCUAGAAGUAGUUCAGGUGCAUGGCUAAUUUGGUUUAUGUAACCUUGUUAGUCACAUUGCUUAGUUUGUGUAGCUAAGUAAGUUGCGCUCUCUAAUUUGGCAUUAGUUGCCUUGUUAUUGAGCUUGCUAGUAAACUAAGGAGCUUUGUGCUUUUGCUUACUAGUUGUGUAGGGCUCCCCCGAUUUGUAAAGUACUAGUGGCAUAGGUUUGUGUGACCUUGUUCCUAGAAUUGGUUAGGUGAGCUCUUGCUAAGGUAGCACCUUGUUUGCUUGUUUAUGAUCUUUUACAAGGUGCUAGAUAACUUAGAUAGAGGGGCGUAGUCUUGGAUAGGCGCGAUAAGUUUUAGAAAGGGCUAUUCACCCCUCUAGUCUGCCAUCUUAACCCUUCACACCUCCUCUACUAAAUGUCCCUUCUCCAUGUUCGAGAGGCGAACAUUGACAUCGCUGAGCUGCAUGUGAACAGUGAUGAUCUUGGCGAGCAUGUCCUUGGAGAAGUCGGCAAAAAUAUUUUGGAUAUCUCUACUAUAUCACCCAUUGCAGCGGCGUGGGGAUCAAACUGGUCUUCGGAUACCAGAUGUAUAGUCAUGUGCCGAGGGGUGGCCGGUGGUGUGCAGGCAACGGCGCCUAGGGCAGAGGGCGGCGACACUAGGUGGCUUGGGCGGCGCACAGGUGAGAGAGAGGGCGGCGCGUGUGGGAGAAGAGAGAGAAAUACAUAAAUAGGUUUGACUAGUCUAUUACUUGAUUCAUUUGGUUACAUAUCCCUAAGUAUUUAUAGUCCUCACGGGACUUGACUCCCAAGCAAACUAGGAGAUCCUUAGCAAACACAGAUUCUCCUUUCCAUCUAACAAACUUGAGCCCCUGACUUAACCGACUCUUUCUAAAAACCAACUAAGACUUUGUUGGUGCAAAAGUGGAUCUGCAAACACAAAGGGCUAAUACCCGAUUCAAUGUUAAGGCGUGCCAGCCGAUUUGACCUUACAAUCGACAAAGGUGAUAACUCGAACACUUUGGUCCGGACAACAGCGAUGCGCCCAGAUGCCAUGGCCAAGAGGUAUUCACACGGAACUUGAGAACUCGUUGAGAUUGACUCGAUGAAUUCCUAAGAACUCAUAAGUAGAAAGAAAAUAUAUAGGGUGACAAAGUCGUCGAAAAAGUAGAUGCUGGAAUAGAUGUAAAAACUUGUGUUUGAUUGAUUGUGUAUAUCCAUUACAUUGCCACAGGGUCUACAUUUAUACUCUGUCCAAAAGAGUUACAACCAGACACGACUAGGACUUGAAUUCUAAAUUGAACGGAAUCCAUAUGCAAAGCAAACUCUAAAAAACUAUGGAAAACAUUAAUCUUCCACCAAAACCGAUCGGCACACCAUCACCAUCUGACCAUCGAUUCCUACGCCUCCUUUUGUAUCCAUCGGCAAAUCACCUUCCGUAGCCAUCGACAACCAUCUACAUUAGUCAUCGGCAUAAACCCACCACUGCUCCCAGACUUGGCUUCAUUCUGUUGUUUCGUCAUCGGUAUCAACCUUCAUCGGCAACUCUCCUGUCAACCAGCCACCACUUUAUUCGCCUGCCAAUCUAUGCCUUAUUAACUCUCAAAUACGCGUCUAGAGAUACGUGUCCAAAAACGGUGUCAACACAUGCCCCCCAAUUUCGGAGUAUAAAACCAUUAAUGCUCCAAAAUUCUCUCCAAUAAUGUUGCCUUUCCGCAAUUACUUCUUCCUGUCAGUCCAGUCUGACGAAAUCCAAACAACCUCAGCCCAGUCUUCCAGCACGUACCUCGAAUCUCUCAACUUCUCGAACCGAAUCCCCCUAGUAUACGUUCAUCGGCAACAUUUCCGUUAGAGAAGACUGCCGAUGAGCCAACCAGAAGAUCUUGCACAGUAAUAUAUCUCCAAAAUCAUGACCGCUUGCAGUCAAAUCACCUGCACAAUCCCUUGAUUUCCGUGCGAACAGUUACCAUAUCCACCUGAACACCCUCGGAUUUCACGGAUAAGGUGAAGAGAUCAGUCAAAAUUGCCCCUGCCCUCUUUGUCCUAUAAAUACUUCCUUCUCCGGUACUCUUCCUCCAUCUUGUCAUUCUACAUCCUCAAACCCACCUUCCUGGCGGUGGCAUUGUUCGAGAGAUUCAAGAACUCUGGCAAGGAUCUCCUCCAACAAUCUUCCGAGUCUUCGAUCCCUUCCUCCUCUCGGGAAGAAAUGGCCAUCAACUUCAUCGUCCCUGAGAUCAAUUCAGCAUCCCCUUUCUUCUUUUCACCAUAUUUUUGAUCUUUCGCGCAGUUAUUUACUUGGUAUUUUCUCUCUUUCUCUUCCCUGUUUUUUCAACCUUCAAACCUUUAGGAAUUGGCCGAGAAAAUUGUUAUUCCAAUCGAUCAACCCCACUUUCAAUGCCUUGGUCCAUUGGGAAACCCAGAUCCUACCGAUUUGAUAAAUGCAGAAAAAAAUAGGAUCCCCUUUAUAGCUGAGAACUUUUCAUUAGAUCUGUGGAAAAACACCUUUCGAUACUAGCCUAGUUCUACCAAGGGAUGGAAAGACUGGUUCCUGAGAAUCGGCAACUCAAAUGAAGUCCAAUGGGGUGAACGCAAACUAGACCAGUGCAUUAGGUUAUCUAUUGCCGAUAUGGAGAGAAACAAAUCACUAUUGAUAGCAGCUUCAUAUUUCUGGUCGGAUACCCUCAAUGCUUUUGUGUUCUGCCAUGGCCCUGCCUCUCCGACCCUUGCCGAUGUACUUAUGCUCACUGGUCUAGAAAUAGCAACUGCCGAUGAUAGCCACCUGUUCGACAGUAAGCCUGAACGUAAAGUGCAAACUCGCAACAUCGGCGGCUGGUCAGGGUACAUUUAGAAGUACCGGAAAAUAGGACCAGUUGGGCAAAGGGAACAUGCCAUCUUUCUUAACAUGUGGCUAGAUAAAUUUGUGUUUUGCGGCCGAUCGGUAGGACCAACUUCUGUGUACCUAUCGGCAGCAAAGAAACUAGCCGGCGGUGGUCGCUUCCCCCUUGGCCGAUACUUGUUAGGCUCUGUUUAUCAUCUACUUCAUCAAGUAGCCGAGAAGCUUCUGUUAGGCCAACCAAUCGGCAACUUAGGAGGCCCUUGGUGGUUCAUCAAUAUGUGGCUCAGUGUUCACAUGCAUAAGCGCCUUGGAUUCGAACUCUUUGCACAGUGCUUUCCCAGAGAUAUCACUGAAGAUCAUGAACUGGCUGAUGAAGAAUCGGCAACUCGCCCACCCAUGAACUAUGGUGAGGCCGCUAUAGUCCUACCUGGUACUGGUGGCAAUGAAGACCAGGUUAGCCAAUUCUUCCAAACUCUUUAUGAGGGUCUUGCCAAAGAUCAGCGGGCAUGGAUGCCUUAUGAAGAUCCAGAAACCAGAUUCCCGCUCACUUUUCACGCUUUUGAUGACACUCUCAACAAGGACCAUGAUCUGAUGAUGGCAAUUAUCACUCCAAGAGACAUACCAGUGAAUUUCUUUGGCAGUGGGAAGAAUUCCAACCCCACAUUUGAAUUCUAUAACCUAUCGGCACUGGCUCGUCAACUGGCUUUCGGGCAGCUGCCGAUUGGACUCUGCUAUGCCGAUGUGGUGAAGCCAAGGGAGACUAUAACCAACGGACUUGAGUGGAUAAGAAUAGCUCAGCUUCAGCCAAAUGCCGAUACGUCAGACAUUGAUUUAUCGACAUGGAUCCCAACCCUUUUUAUUACUCAGAUGUACAAGCAGUGGUGGGAAGAGUGGAAGGAAUACCUGUUCUGCACAUCGGCUGUGACAUACCGCGGCAUGAUCGACCGCAACUAUAAGAUCCCUGAUAACAUUGUAAGUCUUCAACCGAUACCUCAGUUCUUUUGUUGCUUUUAUUCUCAUCGGUAACUCACCUCCUCCUUUUUGAACAGGUCGACAACCCGCCACCGACAGUCAACAGAAGCGAAAGGCCAAUUGAGCUCCUCCCGUGAGGCCCAAUUUCUCUAAUCGGCAACAACGCACCAAGUCUGGCAGCUUUAAUGCAUUGGAACAUGCGUUUUAAAAAGAUAACCACCAAGCGGUCUAAGACGUCCCCAACGGUUGCCACUGCUACCUUGGCACAACCUUUCAAGGUAGACUUUUGAUUUCCUUUGCUUAUACCGACUCUGUUCCAUACUCAUAUUAUCUUUUCAGGAUACAUCGGCUGCUAUGGGAACUUCAUCGGUAACUUUUAUCGUUCAAUAAGAUUUCACCAAUAUCCUGUCAUAUUUGUACUCAUGAAAUUUUGUUGUUGUAACAGCAGACUGGUAAAUUAGCAAGAACCAGAAGUGCUCAAACAAGUGCCGGUGCCCCCCAGCCUAGCCAAGUCAAAAGGAAAGGUCCCAAGAGUACCAAAUCACAACCAAAGCGUCAGAAGACAGCACCAUCUUCUCCUCCUCGUCCAGUGUCGCCGAUUCAUGUGGAAUCGUCCCCCUCUUCACCGGAAAUCUAGACACAGCAAGCACCAUCUCCUCCUCAACCAACACCUCAGCCACAAGAAGCACCAACCAAUGUGCUUGAGCAGACUGCCGAUCCAGCGGAUCUGAUCAUAUCAUCGGUUAUUCCUCCAGAACAAACAAACACUGCACCCCCUCAAGGUAAAGUACUGACCACAAAAUUAUCACCGAUGGAUUUAUUUUUCAAAUUAUAAUUACUCUUGUUAUUUCUCAGUUGAUAUUGUUCCAUCAGCAACUCCAGCCGAUCAACCUGUAGUACCAACGGCAUCAACCAGCCAGAGGCGUGAAAUAGCUUUGAAGCAAGUAAGUUAUCUGAUUUUCAUCCUUUAUAUUACUAAUACUUGAUCAUCAAAUAACUUAUUCUUGUCUUCUUUUUAGGAACAGGACUCCCCAGACAGCUUGUUUUCCUUUGCCAUCGAUAUUUCUGAUGAUGAAGGCGAAGAAGCAAGCUCCUCCCAAGCAGUAGGGGUCUCAUCGACAGAAAUCAAAGCCAAGCUGGAAGACCUGUUGGUCCUGCUGCAUCAAGAUACUGCUAAGUUGGUUGAUGACUCUGAUCCAGCCAAAGCUCUAUUUAAAACCCUUCGGGGCCAUAUCCCAGCCGAUGCAGAAGAAAUCUUGUUUCAAGCUGCACACUUGGAAAGCCGCCAGCUCCAGUACCAGAAGGCUACCUAGCGUCUCGCCGAUAGAGCUGCUCACGUCCAACUCACAGAGGAAGUAAUGCAGGUAAAGCGCCUUGCCGAUGAGAAACAUAAGAGCAUCGGCAUUCUGCAGUCUUCAGAGGAGACGCUGAAACAGAAGAUUUCUGAUCUAUCGGCAAGAAGGAAAACUCUGCUAGCCGAGCUCAAACAAGUGGAAGAAGCCUUAACUCAAGCUCAGCAAGAAGAAAGCCAGAGCUGCCUGAGAGGAUCAAAACUCUCCAACAAGAACAUAACAUCCAAGCCCACAAAGCACUACAGAUGAAGAAGAAGCCGAAGCCAGCAGACGGUUCUACCGAUGAAGACAUCCGGGAGAUAGAAGAAGCUAACCAGAUUCGCCUACGCGCCAUAUCGGCCAUUCAAGCCUUGCUGAAUCUGUAAGCUCCUCAUCGGCGGCUUAUUUCAUCCCACCUUUAGAGACUUUUGAUCAUUCCAGUCUAGCCGAUAGGACUGUUAUCGGCACCUUUUAAAACAUUAUGCACAUCCCCAGAGACGUUUUAUCCAGCCGAUAGGAGUGUUAUUGGCACUUAAAGUUUUAUGCAUCGACCCAAAUGCUUGGGUAAUACCUCUUUAGAUAUUUUCCAUUUAAUGCUUUAGGAAAUUCAACUCCUUCGAGAGUCUCCAAAAUAUAAGCAUUACCAGGAGCAGAUCGAUUUAUCCGAUAAGGACUCUCCCAAUUAGGAGACCAUUUUCUAAACUUCGAACUUUUAGUCCCAAUCGGUAAAAUUAAUUUUCAUACCAAAUCUCCGUCGGCAAACUCCUUAGCUUUUACUCUUUUAUCAUACCACCUAGCAACUCUCUUUUUAUUUUCUUCUAUACUUAUCAAAGCUCUCAACCGAUGCUCUGCCAAAUCAUCUAACUCAUCUUUCAUCAAAGUAGCAUAGUCAUCGGCAGCCAAUUGAUCUUGAAAAGAGACCCGCCUAGAUCCAAUCUUAAUUUCCCAUGGUAGCACGGCAUUGUGUCCGUAUACCAACUGAUAAGGUGAAACUUUGGUCGAUCCAUGACACGCCAUCCGAUAUGACCAUAAAGCUUCAUUCAACAAUGUAUGCCACCUUCUAGGAUUUUCUUCAAUCUUUCGCUUAAUGAGCUUAAUAAUCCCUUUGUUAGAUGCUUCGACUUGUCCAUUGGCUUGAGCAUAAUAAGGAGAGGAAUUCAAUACUUUAAUCAACAUACCGAUUGCAAAUUCAUCAAACUCUCCCAAUGUAAACAUAGUACCCUGAUCGGUAGUGACUGUUUGAGGAAUACCAAAUCGGUAAACAAUAUGCUCUUUCACAAAAUCAAUCAUGUUAGCCGAUGUUACUUUCUUCAAAGGAAUAGCUUCAACCCAUUUAGUAAAAUAGUCAGUGGCAACUAGGAUGAACUUAUGCCCCUUGCUUGAUGGUGGAUAAAUCUGGCCAAUUAGAUCAAUAGCCCAUCCCCGGAACGGCCAAGUCUUAAUAAUAGGAUUCAUGGCCGAUGCGGGUGCCCUUUGAAUAUUGCCAAAUCUUUGACAUCCCUAACAUCCUUUGAAAUAUUUAAAGCAAUCUUCAAGUAUGGUCGGCCAAUAAUACCCGUUUCUCCUGAUCAUCCACUUCAUCUUAAAAGCCGACUGAUGCGCUCCACACACCCCUUCAUAGAUUUCACCCAUCAAGCUUUUAGCCUCAUCAUCACCUAAGCACCUGAGUAAAACUCCAUCUAUCGUUCGAUAAUAUAGUUCUUCUCCAAGGAGCACAUACUUGGUAGCCUGAAACCUAACACGCCUCUCAACCCUUUUAGAUGGAUCUUUUAAGUAAUCAAUGAUUUCCUUUCUCCAAUCAUCGGCACUGAUUGCCGAUAGCACAUUUAAGAAAGGUUGAUAUCCCGAGGCAUGCUGAGCCAACCGAUUAGCCUCUUCAUUAUGUAAUUGAGAAACAUGCUCCAAUCGGAAAUCCUUGAAUCCCCUCAACAGCUGUAGGCUCUUUUCAUAAUAAGUUAUCAAAACUUCACUUCGGCAUUCAUAAAUUCUAGCCAGUUGAUUUAUAACAAGCAUAGAAUCGCCGAAGUUCUCAACAGCAUCCGCAUGAACCUCUUUUAAUAAUUCCAACCCUUUGAUCAGAGCCUGAUAUUCAGCUUAAUUAUUUGUUGACGUGGCAACAACCGGCAAGGAGAACUCAUACUUCUCUCCCCUAGGAGAAAUUAAUACUAUACCGAUUCCUGCCCCCCGGUCACACGUGGAUCCAUCAAAGAAGAGCGUCCAAGGAACAAUCUCCAAAGUCCCCACUACACCGCAAUGCUGAGUCACAAAAUCGGCCAUAAUCUGCCCUUUAACUGCCUUAGCCGAUUCGUAACGCAGAUCAAAUUCCGAUAGCGCCAAAAUCCAUUUGCCGAUUCUACCACUCAUAAUCGGCAUAGAUAGCAUGUACCAGACAACAUCAUCUUUGCAUAUAACGGUGCAUUCGGCCGAUAACAAAUAGUGUCUCAACUUAAUACAUGAAAAGUAUAAGCAUAAACAUAAUUUUUCAAUUGACGAAUACCUUGUCUCAACAUCAACCAGUCUUCUACUUAAAUAAUAAAUCACACGUUCCUUCCCUUCAAAUUCUUGAAUUAGAGCCGAACCAAUGACUAUCCCAUCGGUAGACAAAUAUAAUUUGAAAGGUUUACCCUGUUAAGGUGGAAUUAGAACUGGAGGAUUUGUCAAAUAAUUCUUGAUUUCGUCCAAUGCUGAUUGUUGCUCUCUUCCCCCACACAAACUCUUGAUCGGCUUUCAACUUAAGUAAAGGACUAAAAGCACGAAUCUUACCAGACAAGUUAGAUAUAAAUCGCCUGAUAAAAUUUAUCUUGCCGAUCAGAGAUUGGAGUUCAGUUUUGUUGGUGGGAGCAACUAUUUUGUUGAUAGCAUCAAUAGAUCUCCUACUAAUUUCAAUUCCUCUCUGAUGCACCAUGAAACCAAGAAAUUGCCCUGUUGAUACACCAAAUGCACAUUUAUUAGGAUUCAUCUUUAAACCAUAUUUCCUUGUGCACUCCAACACCUUUCGUAGAUCGGCAAGAUGCUUUGUGAAAUCUCCAGACUUAACCACCACAUCAUCAAUAUAGAUUUCCACCAGCUUGCCGAUGAACUCAUGCAAGAUAAAAUUCAUAGCCCUCUGAUAAGUAGCACCAGCAUUUUUCAAGCCAAAGGUCAUGACUAUCCAUUCAAACAACCCAACAUGACCAGGACAUCUAAAUGCGGUCUUUGGAAUAUUUUCUUCGGCCAUGAAUAUUUGAUUAUAUCCUGCACUGCCAUCCAUAAAGCUAAUAAUCCGAUGUCCAGCUGCAGCAUCAACUAGCAAAUCGGCAACUGGCAUUGGAUAACCAUCCAUCGGUGUAGCCUUGUUAAGAUUCCGGAAAAGAAUGCAGACACAAAGCUUUCCAUUCUUCUUGUAAACUGGAACAACAUUGGAAAUCCACUCGGCAUACCGACACUGCCGAAUAAAUUUAGCUUCGAUAAGUUUAGUUAUUUCGGCCUUAAUAUCAGGAAGAAUAUUAGGAUUACAUCGGCGAGCCGGCUGUUGAUGCGGCUGAAAUCCAGAUUUGGUAGGUAACCGAUGUUCAACAAUAGAUCGGUCUAAACCAGGCAUCUCGGUAUAAUCCCAAGCAAAGCAAUCUUUAUAUUCUUUUAACAAAUUGGUUAAUUGAUGCUUACACUCAGAAUCUAACUUAGCACUAAUAAAAGUAGGCCUUGGCCUAUCACCAUUACCUAUAUCUACUUCUACUAAAUCAUCGGCCGAUGUAAACCCCUGGCCUAAUUUUCCAUCAUCGGCGAACCUAUCCAUUAAAACUCCUCAUCAGAACCGACUGCUUGGAUCGGUGAAAUUUCAUAAUCGGCAACUUUGAGAAAAUUCUUCUCCCAAAUCUCCCCCGAAAUGCAUCUGGUCCUUUCGUAAGUAUCCGCCUCUGCCGAUGCAAUGACAUAUGAAGAAUCCCCUGGGACAAUCUCAAUCUUGUCACCUACCCACUGAACUAAGCACUGGUGCAUUGUAGACGGGAUCCAACAAUUGGCAUGAAUCCAAUCUCUCCCCAACAGCAAAUUAUAAGCACCCUUUCCAUUGAUGACAAAGAAAGUUGUCGGCAAGGUUUUGCUACCGAUGGUCAACUCAACACAUAUGGCUCCCUUGACUAGAGACACAUUCCCUUCAAAAUCUUUCAGCAUCAUAUCGGUCUUGGUCAAAUCUUGAUCUCCUUUCCCAAGCUUCCGAUAGACUGCAUACGGUAUAAUAUUGAUAGCAGCCCCACCAUCAACAAGUAUCUUGGUCACCGGCUGUCCAUCAACCCUGCCUUUGACAAACAGAGCUUUAAGAUGUUGUCUCUCAUUAUCAGCGGGCUUUUCAAAGAUAGCCGUCAUCGGAUCCAGAGCCAAUUGAGCUAUCUGGUCGGGAAAAUCCACCUCCUCAUCAUUACUGAAGGGUGCAAGGAAUUCCAUCAGCAACAUGAACACCAUAUUAACAUCUGCCGAUGGACUUUUUCCUUUAGGAUCUGGCUGCUGCUGAUCCCCAGACUUGGCAGAAUUCUCUUCUCUACUCAGCUCUUCUCGUCGCUCCCGCUACAGCCUUCUUUUCUGUGUCCUAGUUAACCCCUCUGGACACCAUGGAGGGAGUUGUGGUUGUCUAACCGACUGGCGACGAUUUUCCCUUGAUUCCACUCGAUAAGUAUUAGCAUCUCUGCAAAAUAUGAACUCACCGGGAACUCGUGCAUCCACCAUCUCCUCGAGCUCCUCUUGGUUUCUGGGAAAAACCCAACACGCUCACCAAGCCUGUCAUGCACACUGAGCCUGCCCCUAGUCGAUCAUGAACUGAGGCCCUUCCCUUAAUCGGCCCAUCAAAACGCCGAUCAUUGUUCUGAUACUGCCGUUUUGGUCUACCAUACCGAUUAUAACCGUUACACUCAGGGCAGUCUCUAAUAGUGGGUAGCUUGAUGUUUUGCUCCCAACAAUGGAUGAAGAAUGGGCAGUUCCAGUAAUCUUUGUGCCGACUCCACUCUUGUCAGCGUCUUUCUUCUUUCCGACGACGAUCCUCCUGUUGGCGCCGAUACCGAUCUUCACGCUGCUGCCAGGUUUCCCGAUGCCUUCUAUGAGUGAUCACAAUGCCAGAUCGAGGAGGCCUUCCUAAGCUUGUUCCUUCCUGGAUCAAGCCCUUGCCUUUGGCGUCAUCGGCAGUGAUCUGAUGCUGAGGAUCUAUCGAUGCACUUCUUUCAGCUGCCUCUGAUGUCAAGACUUUAGUAUUUCCCUUACCAUCUAACAUAUUUGUAGGGAAAGGAUGUUGGUCAAUCUUCAUCGGCUUUUGAGCUUUGGAGCUAUCGAACAUAAUUCUUUUAGACUCUAUAGCCGAUUGCAGCUGUUGCCUGAAAACCUUGCACUCAUUUGUACUGUGAGAUGUUGCAUUAUGCCACUUGCAGUACUUAAUCUUCUUUAAUUCUCCUGCCGAUGGAAUCACAUGGUUGGGUGACAACUUAAUUUGCCCCUGCUGAAGCAGAAAGUCAAAUAUCCUAUCGGCUUUGGUGAUGUCGAAUGCAAACUUUUCUGGCUCUUUAUGCCCAAACGGGCAAGACAUCGUCUAGCUUCUUAUUCUUUACCUACUCUGCCAGUGAUGACUGGUUCUUCAUCAGAAUCUGAGCUUGUUGCCUCAUCGACAAAUGACACCUUUUUGUUCUAUGCUCUCUUAGGUUUAAAAGCUUUGACAUCUUGGUCAGAAAUCCUCUGCACUAAAUGACUUAGACUUUCGAACUCUUGAGAAGCAUAAUUGUCUCUGAUAUGUGGCAACAAUCCCUGGAAAGCCAAAUCGGCUAGCUGCCGAUCAUCUAGAACCAGACUAUAACAUUUAUUCUUGACAUCUCGCAACCUUUGCACAAAGCUUUCAACUGAUUCAUCAUUGCGUUGCUUUAGCCUGACUAAAUCGGUAAUCUUCUUCUCAUGAACUCCAGAAAAGAAGUAUUUGUGGAACUGUUUCUCUAGAUCGGCCCAUGUGAUCACUGAGUUUGGAGGUAAUGAAAUAAACCAAGUAAAUGCCGAUCCAGACAAAGAUGAUGAGAAUAAACAAACCCUUAACUCAUCUCUAUUAGCAGCUUCCCCACACUGGAUGAUGAACCUGUUAACAUGCUCCAUAGUUGACGUGUCAUCCUGCCCGGAGAAUUUAGUGAAAUCUGGCACCUUGUACCGAUUUGGAAGUGGGAUCAAGUCGUAUGCAGGAGGAUACGGUGUCAGAUAAGAGUAAGUGUUAACUUUGGAUUUUAUCCCAAAUUGAUCUCUCAUCACCUUAGCUAUCUUAUCGGCCCAAUAAGCAUCGGCAUCUUGCCGAUGAACUGGCUAUGGAUCUGGCAUCUGCUGAUAAGCCUCCACGUGUCUCGGCAAUGCACGAUCUCCAGGGAACAUAGGAUUAGCUAUUGCCUGCUGACCACCAACUUGUUGACCAAGAUUGAUCGGCUGGAUGAUCAACCCUUGAUUCUGAAAUCCAGGUUGCAUUGGUCCCUGUUGAAAUCCCACAGCCUGAUGAUUCUGCUGAGGCAAAUGUGGAAAGACGAAUUGCCCUGUCCAUCCAUUAUUAACAUUCAUCGGCGUAGGCCCUGCCGAUGGAUGAUAAUUGGGCAUCAUCAUUGAAUUGACAUACCCUGGCUAUGUCAUAAACCUUUGCUGCGUUGGCAUUGGAUCUGCCGAUGCGUUAGGCAUCUGGAACGUUGGUACUUGAGAAUUCCCAGUAAAAGGUCUUGCAGUAGUAGUUGUAGAAUAUUGGGGAUUCUAAGUCAUCGGUGAUACUGGAGGUGUCGAUGCCAUAGGAGCCUUGCCUGUCAUAUCAGCCACUUGAGACAUUCGAGAGCUAUUUGCCAUAAACUCUGGGGGCAUACCAUAUCCCCACCAAUUAGGAGGAACUUGAGAUCCUUUAAACACAGAUCCUGUCAUUGCCGAUGCCAAUAAAUCUGUAGUGAGUUUAACUUGUUCCUCUGAUGUUGAUGAAUUAGUCGCCAUUGGUGUAGAUUGCGCAUUAGUCAUCCCUAGUGUGCUUGGAGGAGAAGUAACUUCUGUACCCGCAACGGCUGUAGUAGCCGAUGGAGCCGUAACCGAUGAUGAUCCUGGCUGAUGAUAGGCAGGGCCCACAUAAGAUGGUGGUAUUUGUCCUUCUUUGAAAGUUCUAGCCACAGCAUUGAAAACCAUAUUGGACAGCACACCAAAUUGAUUGAUUAGAGCACGAUUGACAGCACUAUCAACCAUCUCUUGUAGUUUACCAGGAUUGGCUUCAAAAGUAAUUUGCCGAGGCAUCGGCAAUGCUUCCUUCUGGAUCACCUCGCCACUCCUGUUGAUACUGAAGGAUUUCAAGCAUAGCUGCUUGUAGUCCUCCAUAGCUUUUGCCAUAGCUUGCUUCUGUUCAUCUCUGAGAUUAGCUUCCGCCACAGGGAUGACGUUCUCCAAGUCGAAAUCGGUGUUCGACAUGUUGAUCUUGAUGUUGAAUCUCUGUCCCACUGGGCGUGCCAAAAGAUGUGUUGGUGCAAAAGUGGAUCUACAAACACAAAGGGCUAAUACCCAAUUCAAUGUUAAGGCGUGCCAGCCGAUUUGACCUUACAAUCGACAAAGGUGAUAACUCGAACACUUUGGUCCUGACAACAGCGAUGCGCCCGGAUGUCACGGCCAAGAGGUAUUCACGCGGAACUUGAGAACUCGUCGAGAUUGACUCGAUGAAUUCCUAAGAACUCGUAAGUAGAAAGAAAAUAUACAGGCUGACGAAGUCGUCGAAAAAGUAGAUGCUGGAAUAGAUGUAAAAUCUUGUGUUUGAUUGAUUGUGUAUAUCCAUUACAUUACCAUAGGGUCUACAUUUAUAUCCUGUCCAUAAGAGUUACAACCAGACACGACUAGGACUCGAAUUCUAAAUUGAACGGAAUCCGUAUGCAAAGCAAACUCUAAAAAACUAUGGAAAACAUUAAUCUUCCACCAAAACCGAUCGGCACAACAUCGCCAUCUGACCAUCGAUUCCUGCGUCUCCUUUUGCAUCCAUCGGCAAAUCACCUUCCGUAGCCAUCGGCAACCAUCAACAUUAGUCAUCGGCAUAAACCCACCACUGCUCCCAGACUUGGCUUCAUUCUGUUGUUUCGUCAUCGGUAUCAACCUUCAUCGGCAACUCUCCUGUCAACCAGCCACCACUUUAUUCGCCUGCCAAUCUAUGCCUUAUUAACUCUCAAAUACGCGUCCAGAGAUACGUGUCCAAAAACGGUGUCAACAGACUUAAUAUGGUAGUUGUAGAUGACAACGACAGGACUAGUAGGGGCUGUAACAUCCUCCCCCUCCCUUAGGCAUGCCUUGGCUAGGGCAGGCUGCGAGGCCCGGCUAGUGCGGCAAUGCCCCCUCCUCGGGCCCUAGGUGGCCCGUUUUCUUCACCGAUGAGUAUGGCUCACGUUGGGCGUGUGACAGGUAUAGUGUGACAAUACAAGGGAAACAUCUGUCUGGCGAGCAAGUCAUUGCUUUGGACUUUUUCACCAAGAAUGGAUGUACAAAGAAUAGUAGAUAUUUUUUAUUUUUUCCUACAAUUUGGUGUUCUGUUAUCUUCUUGAAUGUAAUCAUCAGAUGAGCUGAAAACUUGUAAGAACUUGGCUAUUUUCGAUCACAGAGGCAAGAACUAUUUCUUUUUUAAAAGAAAAUUUUGUGUGCACUCCGGUGAUGGCAAAUAAAAAUGCGAUCGCAGAGGCAAGAACUAUUUUUUUAAAUAAAAUUUUGUGUGCACUCCGAUGAUGGCAAAUAAAAAUGGAAAUUCAAUAUGUACCUUUGUGCUUAUGCCGGUGAGACUUUGGAUGGUUUCUAUUCUAAUCCCAAGCAAUUUAUUGUGUUGGACGUGCAAUAUACUUAGAGCAACUCCAAGAGACUUUAAAUUUCUAUAAUCACCAUAUCUCUAUCUAGAAAUUCAUUUAAUGAAUAUUUUCUUCGUAAAUCUCUCAUGUAUCUACCAGACUUUUCAAUUUCUCAUCUAUGUACUCCAAUAGCAUCUCAUAAUUUUCUUUUUGAGAAAAAAUCAUAUGAAAACUAUAGUACAUAUUGUGUUUAAACAGCCAUCUAGGCUCUCCAAAGGUGGAGAGGGAGAAGGGUGGUUGUGGAGAGAGGAAAAAAAUGGAGUGAUUUACAGUCUAUUGGAGCAUAUUUUUAGUUUUGUUUUCUAAUUUUUGUGAUAUAGAGCCAUGUGGAGAAUCUUCUAGAGAUGCACUAGGACUAAACCUUGCAUGGUUCUUUAUUUUACCACAGCAGCUGAAGAUUGCAUGCACCAGGUGGAUAUGUGGCCUCUGAUAUUAUGUGGGUGACAAUUAUAAAUUAGAGCCAAUAACAAACAAAGAUUCAAUAAACCUGUUAGGUGUUUUGACCCCGGGAGGUAACACCAACGAGUGAAUUUGUGUGCGUGUUCCCCUUUUCGGAUGGUUAUGCAAGAGUGACACAAAGAUUUAUCCUGGUUCAGGCAAAAGAAGGCCCUACGUCCAGCGGGGGGGAGAGUGUGUAUUAUCUUGCACCUAAGUGCUUGUACAGGGGCGAAUACAAGUAAAUGUGUCGGAGAGGAAAAGCGGCAGUUGCUGGAUGAUGGCUCGAUCGUCUCCUCGAGCGCCUCCCAGCUGGCAUGCCAGCCGAAAAUCCGCCAGCCAUAGUUCUGGCUUGGUUUCGCUGUUGUAUUUGGCGAUGCUGGUCGGGGGUCGGAACGGGCUCGGCAGUGGCGUGCUACGGAUCGCCCUACUGAAGACUCGAGGACCUGGUGGCUCUGGAGCCAUCCGGUCCUCGUCACUAUCGUAGCAUCCGCCACGGUGGGCGUUGUAGCCUCGUUCCUCAGCGUCACCGUGUUUGCGGCGUCGAUGCUCGUUGAUGUCGCUUUGAGCGUCGCGAGGCUCUCGAUUGUCGACAAGGCGCUCCAGGAUCGGGGUGGCUGUUCCCUGUGAACAGACACCUCCCUCUCAUUUCGAGCUGGCUCGGGGUGCUUUUCUGUGGCCGCCCCUCGACGUCGAGAGGCGGAGCUCUCUGCUUGCUGAGCCGCCGCCACAUGGAGCAAACCUUGCACCUCGUCUCGAAUGCGUCAUGCCUACGAGUUCGAGGGCUCAGGCAUGUUGCGUAGCAGUAUGGUUGCCGCCACGAUGUUCUGACCACCUCGUGGGAAUCGGCUAAUGAGCGGUUCAGGCUCCUCGUCCCCAACGAUCUGUCGGUACACGUCUCGAGCGCGUCCGCGCGUGCCCCCGCUCUGCGGGUGUGGUUGGUCUCGCUCGAGGGCCCGCUCUAGUUGGCUGAGGCGCUCUCGGUCCUCGUCGAGCUUGGCUUUUAGCUAUCAUAGCUGCGCAACUUGCAUGGCCUUCUCGUCCUGAGGUGGUGGGUCCGCCUGCCCGUCGUUCCCAGGUGUCCUAGGAUCUUCCCCUGCCGCGGGAGCUUGUGCAACGACGGCGGCGUCCUCUGUGUCGUCUGGGGUAGCCACUUCUCCGUCGAUGUUGAAGCAUUCCCUCGUAGGGUCGUAGCUGUCAGACUCGGAGUCGGGGUCUGGCUCGGCGGUGUAGAAGCAUCUGCGCCACUCCUCCGCCAACUGUUGCCUGAGCGUGGUGAGGGUGUAUCGUCCAGGUCCCAGGCGUCGAGGCCUGCGUAUCUAGGGAAAGCCUGGACACUCAACCACUUGCUGAGCUUGCUGUCGCGUCUCUGUGUCACGUGGGAGGACCAGUGGUCGCUCCACGCACGUCCCGAUGCCUGGACAUAUUGUCCUGACGAGCGACGUUGUGGCGUUGUCUAAGCCGAACAGGAGCGUCUGCCCUGUGGCGAACAGACCAUGUGGUAACAGGGCAAAUGGUGGCGACGGUGCAUGGGGUGCGUUGUCCCUUGGUGCCGUCGGGCGGCCGCUCCGCUGACUGGCCGACAUGACCACUGCCUUGGUGUGCGAGGCUGCCGGCCCCUCCACCAAUACCUGUCCUACAUGAGGUGGCGAUCGUGCGGCAGCGUUGAGGCGGUGGCGAUGCUGAUCACGCCUCCUCUUGGGCCGGGAAGCGUGGUAGUGAGGCCGCUGUGGGCCUUCGAUCGUGUGGGCAUGAUGCGAGCCCCUCCCGGUCCUCUAACUGAGAGCAAAAUCAUAUCAUAGCUGAAACCAGUGGACAUGAACUUAAGGCUCCCAAACCAGAUCACCGUGGAGCGCGGGAUCGGUGAGACGUGAGUGGCAAUACGAAAAGAGACGGGGAAUCAAUAGUAACACGCAGGACCCCUACCUAGUGUGCCAACUGUCGGUGUUUUGACAACGGGGGGUAACACCAACGAGUGAAUUUGUGUGCGUGUUCCCCUUUUUGGAUGGUUAUGCAAGAGUGACACAAACAUUUAUCCUGGUUCAGGCAAAAGAAGGCCCUACGUCCAACGGGGGGAGAGUGUGUAUUAUCUUGCACCUAAGUGCUUGUACAGGGGCGAAUACAAGUAAAUGUGGCUGAGAAUUCUAAGUCCUAGCCGGUUGUGGUGGAGAGUGAAUCGUGUAUUCUAGGUCUCUUGUUCGAUAUCGUCCUCAGCGUCCCCUUUUAUAGUUCCAAGAGGAGGCCUAGGUUACAGGAUGUAGGCGUUUGAGUAGGCCUCGAUAGGGGUAUGGCGCUGACCUACUCGAGGCCUCUGUACAGCGUGGCCUCGAGCCGUCUUGUUACAGGGUACUUUGGUGAUGAUGGCGCGUGCGUUCCUUGAAUUCAACUCCUGCACCCCAUCUGGUAUUGGCUUAGGCGCGAGCACGCUUAUACGUCGCGGCAGUCGUCAUGCCGAGAGUGGUUGAAGUGAUAACUUCUAUCGCUCAAUCCUUCCUUGGGAAGGUGCGUGCGUGCUCGAGGGUCAGGCGACAUGGGUGGCUUUGUUAUGCAGGAGCGCUGACCUCGAACAUCUCGAGGGGUGUUGUGAUGGGAUAUUACGCCUGCUGCACUGUGCCGAGCUGUACUUUUCUCCAAUCUUGAGGAUAAAGCUGGGAAAAGUGGAGAUUUGACGGGUGCUUGUUCCCCCAUCACGUUUCCCGUGACUGUCGGGUUAGGUGGGAGCGUGGCAGUCGCAUUAAAUGCUCUGGCUCCCGUACCUGCGACAGGCGGCGGGGAACGCUUUUGCGCUCGAGGCUCGCCGAUUCGCUCGACGCUCUUUCCGUAAUCGAUGGUCUCUGGCUAUCGAGCCCUUGACCAUUCGCUCGACCUUACUUCCGUAUUCGAGGCCAUGGUCGAUACCGUGCCCUGGCUCGAACCACGGCUCAGACGGUCCUGUAUUUAUACUGAAUCAUCGAGCCUAAGCCUCGAAUCGUUUGUGGAUCUUCACAUUGUGAGUGUUUGCUGGGGUACCCCUUGUUGACAUCCUCGACAAAACCCAAAUAACUUUUAUUAUUUGGAUUUUAAAAUAUUCUUAAGGGAUUUCUAGAAACUUUCAAUAAAAUUUUUGAGUCCUAAAAAAUAUUUUUGCAGUGAGUGAGCAAUCUUGCUCAGUACUUUAUUUGAGUACCAAAUAAUCACAUUUCUGCAUACUAGAAUUUAUCUAACAUAUUUUGGAGCUCCUUUGAGUUUUCAUGUGGAGUUCCUUGGAAUCUCAAUUUAUUUAAAAUAGGGAGCAAACUUUCAAUUCAUAUUAGUCAUGCUACCAUUGCAAUAACUAGCAGAAAGGAGUAAUCUUACAUAAGGUUCCACACACAACAACUUGAUCAAAUGAACUCUUCUAUAUUAUUAUGUUUUUGGACCAAUAAUCACCAGAAGAUGAGGUAUAUAGGAAGAUAAUGAAAAAUUAAAAUGACAUAACGAUAUUGGUGACCCAGCCAAUAUGGUUCUAUAGUAGAUAUAUUGAAAGGGUUUGGUGAAUAUGGCUUGGAAUAUAUGUUGCAUGUUGUAGAGACAUCAACUUUGAAUACAUCUCAACCAACUCCCAUGCUUGACACAGGACAACAAAAUAUUAUUAUAGCUAGAAUGAUUGGAUGAGCACAAUAGCUCAUGACAUAUGAAGUACUAGAAGCUGAAAACUUUUGUUCCAUGGCCUCAACAGGUUGCUAUGUCUUAGAAAGAAGAUGCUUCCAAAGGAUAAGAAGCUUCCUUAAACAACUCAAGGCACCAAGUAGGUUAUCUAGCCUUUGCAUUUAGAAGUACAAAAGGUACAUGAAUGUUCUAAUGGUUGUGCUCUUUAUCACAUUGAUUUGAGGAUUUGAGAGGUUGUCUGUCAUGCAAAUCACUAUAGUGUGAAAUCAAGCAUAACAACCUUAAUAAUGAAGUAGGUUUAAAAAUCAUGAUGAUAUUGAAGGUGAGCCUAAGAAGAGAAUCCUCUCCACCUCACCCCUACCACCCUCCCAACCCUUCCACCACUAAUGCAUAUGGUAUUUCCCUACAAUACCAUACUUCAAGCAUAAGUUUGUGAUCAAAGCACAAAAGUAAUUGAUGUAGUGGAUUAAAUAAGAUUGUAAGGAAGAUACAAUGAUAAUAUUGAGUAUCCUCUAUUGGACUAUAGUGGAGGAAGUUUAUAAAACAUAGCUAGACAUUGCAAAGCCGGUGAGGAACAUUAGAUUUAGGUUGAGUACAAACGGGAUGAAUCCUUUCGAUGAAUUGCGACGUAGAAAUAGAACAUUGCAUAAGUCUAUGGAUAUAAGUUUUGAGUGGUCAUAGAACUUAGUAAUGUAUAUAUGGUAUAUACUCCCUAUGGUCCAGUUUAAGCCAUUUCGAGUAUGUCAACAGUCAAACAAUGUAAACUUUGACCAACAAUUUGGUCAAAAAAAUUUAGAUGUUGAAUACAAACUUGAUACUAUUAGAUUUAUAAUCAAAUCCACUUUCCAAUAACCAUAAGUUUAUAAUCACAAACAACAUAAUAUAACAUAAAUGAAUGGUAAGACUAUAAUUUAGGAUACCAUGCCAUUUAUAAUUUGAUGCUGGCAUUUAUCCAAGGUCCCCAAGUAACCUGGCAAUUGCAUCUAUUUUAAUUAAACUAUUGGUUGAAGGUCGUACAUUGUGCAACGAUUGUGUAUGGGUAUGGGAUAAGUACGAAAGGGAGUAGUUCAACCUAAAAGUAAUGUUCAUAACCACCAACGAGUAGCAUGCACUUGGUAACAUGGAGGGAUUCACUAUCAAAGAAUUUAGGGUCAAAUAGCACCGUUUGCUUACAUGACUAAUAGCAUAGACCUAAAGUUAUCAAAAGGCAUAGAAAAUGGUCCAUCAUAAGUUUCUCCACACGGACAUGUGUAUUUGCAUUGCUAGAGGAUCUAAAAAUUGUUUUCAUGACAGGAUUCGUGUGGACAGUUGGUAACAGAUGUUGGUCUUUGAGUUAUGUUGCAAACCAAAUUAAUAGACCUUGUGUUGAAAAUUAUGUCUAUUAGGGAACUUAAAACUCUGUAUCAGGGAUAUAAUUAAGUUUUCCAAGAGAUUAUAGGUUGAAUAGAUGAUAAUUGCAUAAUUGCAACCCUAGGAAUUCAUUGGCAAACAUUUUCUUCCGGCACUUUGAUAGUGAAGUUGUUGAAAAAUUUCUAACAAACAUGAUUGCAUCAUGUUUCAGAAAUGGGAACCAUGAGGGUAUCCUAUACAAAGUUAAGAGGGUAACCUGACCAUUUUUUACCUUAACAUGAUAGAACAUGAGGAUACCAUAAGUGAAAAGAUUGGCGAAGAUGUCAUGAGUGUAAUUCAUCAUUCAUACAAAUGCAUGUGCCAAUUCGCCUUUGACAUACAAUCAAUUUUCUUAGAUAUUUCCUUUUCUUCUAUUUUAAGAUUAUUGAAUUGAGUAUAUAACCAGCAUACUCAAACACUAUGGUCCUAACAAAAGUUGAUGGUAAACAUGUUUAUCAUCAAAUUAAACCAAGGAGCACAUCUAUUGAACUUGAACUAGCACUGUCAUUGUACCACAAAACACGUAGCUUAUCUGUUAGGGAUCACGUGCCCAACAACAUCCUGUAAAAACUGGAGUUGCAAACUAGGUGACAUGAUGUCUAUGAUGCUAUUAUUGAACUUUCAAACAUUAUAAAAGAGGCACUAAAGUUCCCUUAAGGCCAAGAUAAGUUGAUGAAGAGCUAUAUACUGUUGGGACGGUAUAAGUUUAAGCAACUUUCCGAUUUUAAAAAAAAAAUCUCAAAAACUAAGCUUGAAUUUGCAGACAUAAAUGCCAUACUUUGCAGCCGCAUGUAUGAACAUGAGAAUUUCAAAAUAAUAUAGAAAAUAUUCUAUAUGAUUUUUAUUUAUCAAGACAAGAAGCAUGGCAUUAGAGAGGACCGAGCUGGGGAUCGAGUGAGGUCUCAGCUGGCUGCGCUCCCGUGUUCAAGUGCUAAUACCGGUGUUGUCAAAAAAAAAGUGCUAAUACCGGCCGGCAUGGGAGCCUCACCCUGGGUUUUUUCCCCAUAGAGCCUAGGAGGGUGUCCUAGGUUAGAUUAAUUGAGGAGCCUCGCAUAGACGAGCUACAACUAUCAUAUCUCUUAGAGCAAGUAUUAUAGAUCCUAGUCAGCAGGCUGUAAGGCAGUCCAUGUCAUCAAAAUCCUACGUGGAAGAAAGAGAAAGGAAGAGAGAGAAGCUAGCUGACGCUAAGCUUGUCGUCGAGCGCAGCACAAAUAAAGAGACGCAUACGCUGGCUUGCAGCCCAUUUGAUCGGCUUUUGGCACGCGAAGAGCAUCCUCCGUCUCUCAACUUGGUAGAGCAUUAAAUGCUGGGCCAACUCUCCUAGCUUACUAGUAUACUGGUACAUAUACUUGUCACUAGUACUCAGCCUUCUAGCAGCCCGCAACCGGCGUUUUCUAUUAUCCUUGCUCUUAGUUGUUUUAUCUUAGACCUAGAUAUAGGUUAACGUUUAGGUCUUAGACCUAGAUAAAAGUUAGGCUUCUGUUUGGUUAGAUUAAUUGAGGAGCCUCGCAUAGACGAGUAUAUGUCUAGCUUGCUGUGCACUAGGGUGUGUGUGCGCGCUUGUGUGGUGUGAGUAUGUUGUAAGAUUAUGAGUAAGUUCAGAUACUACAGCUAAGCUUGUACUCGAAGGUUGAGGCAAUAAAAAAGCAUGACAUUUGACAAGAGUUGGUAAGUAAAUAGUCAAACACUACAGCCAUAUCUACAAGUGUUGAUAACAAAUUAAAAGAGCUUCUGUCAGUGCGGGUUUCUAAAUUAACAGCCUUUCAAAAUGCAAAAGUUGGCCUACCCAAGAUCCUAGAGAAGUAUGAUAGCACGAAGCCAAUAUUCUAAAACUUUAGGGCUUGCUUGGCUGCCAGCAUACUUUGCCAUGAUUCGGAUGUUGGUGCCGCCUCACUUGAGCGAAAUCGACGCCACAAAGUAUGUUGAGAAUCUAACUUCCAAUAUCUGUUCACCAACCAAACAGAAGCCUAACUUUUUUUGGUGCAGCCAAACUAUGGCGUAACGUUUAAUGUUCCAACACGAGCAAGACCAGAGUUAUCAGUGUUAGAAUAUAGAAUAUGUAUCAUACAUGGUAAUGUAUUGUAACGUAUCUUGGCAGGACAUAUAAGCCAGAUACGACUAGGACUCUGUACCUAGACCUUCUAUGUACAUGCCUCCUGAAGGCUUGUCUCAGGCGUAUAUAAACACGCACCCAGGGCCCUGGACGGGUAUCCUGGUUUCUCUAGUUUUACAUGGUAUACAGAGCCAAUACUCCUUAUGGAAAAUCACCAUGACGUCUUCAGCGCUACCGGCCGCCGCCUUCCUUGGCCUGGCGUUCAUCCUGGUCACAGAGAAGCUUACCCGAAGCAACUUCCAAUCGUGGAAGUCCCAAGUCUUAUCGGCGAUCAAAGGUGCUCAAGUCUACAAGUUCAUCCAACCAGGAGCUCAUCCUCCGCCAGAGUUCCUGGAACCGAAGGCCAAGUCUAGCACCGAUGAUGGAAAACCAGAUCCUCCAGUGUCAAAUCCAGAGUAUGACACUUGGGUAGCCAAAGAUCAGCAGGUUUUGAGUUAUCUACUCACCUCGCUUUCAAAGGAGAUCCUCAGCCAGGUCUCCACGCACACGACGGCAUCAACAGCAUGGGCCGCCAUCGAGGGCAUGUUUGCCUCUCAAUCAAGGGCGCGGAUUAUUGCUACCCGCAUGGCGUUAGCAACAGCGUCCAAAGGUUCUUCCUCCAUCAGCGAAUACAUCGCAAAGAUGAAGGGACUUGCCGAAGACAUGACAUCAGCAGGCAAGAAGAUUGAAGAUGAAGAACUCGUUUCUUACAUCCUGACCGGGCAUGAUCUGGACUAUGAUCCGGUCAUCUCAGCAAUAGCGGCACGAGUAGAGCCGAUCUCUGUCAGCGAGUUGUUUACACAACUUGUCAGUCAUGAACAGCGUAUGGAGUUACGCAAUGGAGGACAACAGACUUCAGCAAAUCUCGCUGCACGUGGUGGUCGCGGUAGCAACAACAACUCCUGUGGUCGCGGGGGAGGAGGCCGCAAUACUAGUGGUCGUGGGGGACGCACUGGUCCUGGUCACGGCAAUGGUGGCCAAGGACAGAAUUUGUUCCAAUAGGGCGUCUUCUGUCAUCUUUGUGGCAAAGAAGGACACUCCGUGGUACGUUGUUAUAAGCGCUUUGAUCAUAGCUUUACAGGACCACCACAGCGAAGCGCCUCAUCAGCAACCAGUUCGUACGGCAUCGACACAAACUGGUAUAUGGACUCGGGAGCAACAGAUCAUAUCACUAGAGAGCUUGAGAAGCUGACUGCUCGAGACAAGUAUAAUGGAGGUGACCAAGUCCAUGCUGCGAACGGGACAGGUAUGGAGAUUUCUAAUGUUGGUCAUAGCACUUUGUAUUUCCCAAAUAAAGAGUUGCAUCUCAAAAACAUCCUCCAUGUCCCUAGAUCCCAAAAGAGUCUUGUUUCAGUAACUUGUUUUACUAAAGACAAUGAUGUUUUUCUUGAGUUUCACCCCCAUUAUUUUUCUAUCAAGGAACAGGCGACGAAGAAAACUCUCCACAGCGGUAGAUGUGAAAAGGGGCUCUAUCCUUUGCGCCUCUCCAACAAUACCUCUUCCCAAAAUAAAUAGGCUUUAAGUGCUCUCAAGCCAACGGUCUCCCUGUGGCACUACCGUUUGGGACAUCCUGCUAGCCAAGUAGUCAAACAAGUCAUUAGUCAUCAUCAUCUUCAUUGUAUUCAUGAGUCAAAUAGUGAGAGAGUUUGUGAUGCUUGUCAACAAGGCCAGAGUCACCAGUUGCCUUAUCCUAAGUCUGUUAGUGUGUCCUCUCAUCCUAUGGAUUUAGUGUUUUCUGAUGUAUGGGGUCCUGCCCCAACUUCAGUGGGUCGAAACAAUUAUUAUGUCAGCUUUAUUGAUGAUUAUAGCAAGUUUACUUGGAUCUACUUCCUUCGACACAAAUCUGAAGUUUUUCAAUGUUUUCGCAAUUUCCAGAAUUUAGUCGAGAGACAAUUUGGCCGCAAAAUUCUUGCUAUUCAGACAGAUUGGGUUGGAGAAUAUCAAGCGCUCCACUCUUUCUUUCAACGGAUAGGAAUAGAACACCAUGUUUCUUGUCCGCAUGCUCAUCAACAGAACGGUUCUGCCGAACGAAAACAUCGUCAUAUCGUCGAGAUGGGGCUCACCCUUCUUGCUCAUUCAUCCCUUCUUCUCAAGUUUUGGGACGAAGCCUUUUCCACCGCAGUGUUUCUCAUUAAUAGACUUCCGUCCAGGGUUAUACAUGGUGAAACACCUCUCGAACGUCUCUACAAACAAAAACCAGAUUACAGUUUCUUUCGUACCUUUGGGUGUGCGGUGUGGCCAAAUUUACGACCCUACAAUGCUAGGAAGCUACAAUUCCGAUCAAAACAGUGUGUCUUCCUAGGGUACAGUAAUUUGCACAAGGGCUUCAAAUGUCUUGAUCCUAAAGAGGGCCGCAUAUAUAUCUCUCGGGAUGUGGUGUUUGAUGAACAUGUUUUUCCCUUUGCCUCCCUUCAUUCAAAUGCGGGUGCCCGUCUUCGUGCUGAGUUUUCUCUCUUACCUGAUAUUCUUAAAAACCCAUCAUCUACAUUUGGGGAUGCACUGUUGCAUGAUCAGCAUUUAGUUUCUCCUACUAACCCAUCACCAAGCUUUGGUCUAUCUUCUGAUGAUGCUACAGGAACAAAUCCGGCGCAAGAGGGCUCAGAAACGGCGCCUGGGCAUCGACAUUUCAUGUGCUCCCCGCACAGCAACAGCACGAGAUGCGAGGGGGAUAUGACGGCGACAGCUGAUGGCCUGCCCAGCGCAUCUACAUCGGGAUCGGUGGGUCAGAACCUGCCGACCGCGUCGCCCGCACAAACCCAGGUGCCAGCGCCGUCGCCCGGAUCUUCUGCGGCGGACACACCACCACACGUGGCUGUUGAUGGCUCCUUCCCUACGCAGACGGAUCCGCUCGCACCGGGGACAACAUCCGGCACAGAGUCCUUGGCGAUUCUAUCGCCCGGAUCCUCUACGGCAUCUGAAUCUGGUGGCACGGGCAUUAUUUCCACCGGUGUUGAUUCAUUGCCAGCUCCUGCCCCGUCUCCUCCACACCGCCCAGUUACACGAGCUCAACACGGCAUCAGCAAGCCUAAGAUCUACACUGAUGGGACAAUCCGCUAGGGUAUGCAAGCAACCACUAGUGAAGCUGAACCAUUGACACUUGAAGAUGCACUUGGAAAUUCAAAGUGGCGGGGUGCGAUGGACAGUGAACAUCAAGCGCUAAUGAAAAAUCGUACGUGGCAUCUUGUACCACGUCCCAAAGAUAAGAACAUCAUAGGAUGUAAAUGGUUCUAUAAAAUCAAGCGCAAGGCAGAUGGCACUAUUGACCGGUACAAAGCACGACUUGUAGCAAAGGGAUUCAAGCAGCGAUAUGGCAUUGAUUAUGAGGACACUUUUAGCCCAGUUGUCAAAGCAGCUACCAUACGACUGAUCUUGUCCGUGGUAGUAUCAAAGGGAUGGUCAUUGCGACAGCUGGACGUUCAAAAUGCUUUUCUCCAUGGAAUUCUUGAGGAGGAGGUGUACAUGCAUCAACCUCCUGGAUAUACUGAUGAGAAGCAUCCCAGCUACGUCUGCAAAUUGGAUAAAGCACUAUAUGGCCUGAAGCAAGCACCUCGGGCUUGGUAUGCGCGGUUGUGCAAGAGACUGGAAGAUCUCGGGUUCAAAGCAUCAAGGGCAGAUACAUCCCUAUUCUAUUACAAUCGUGGUGGACACAGUGUUUUUGUUUUGGUAUAUGUUGACGAUAUAAUUGUUGCCAGUUCUUCUGAACAAGCCACAGAAACUCUCCUCAAGGAUUUGCAGCGGGACUUUGCUCUUAAGGACCUUGGGGACUUGCAUUUUUUCCUUGGAAUUGAAGUUCAGAAAGCACCUGAUGGAAUCGUGCUGUCUCAAACACGAUAUGCUACUGAUGUUCUUAAAAGAGCAGGGAUGGACAAAGCCAAACCGGCCGUUACACCACUGGCUACCUCGGAAAAACUCAGCUUGACCGAUGGAGAACCGCUUGGUCCUGAUGACAGUACUCGAUACCGAAGCCUGGUGGGUGCAUUGCAAUAUUUAACCCUCACUAGACCUGACAUUUCCUUUGCGGUAAACAAGGUAUGCCAGUUCCUUCAUGCCCCAACCACGGUGCAUUUUAGUGCUGUCAAAAGAAUUCUUCGAUACGUUCGUGGCACACUUGGUGUUGGUCACAAAAUCAAGCGGUCCAAGACUAUGCUUAUCAGUGCUUUCUCCGAUGUGGACUGGGCAGGGUGCAUUGAUGACCGUCGAUCCACCGGGGGAUUUGCUGUGUUCUUGGGUGCUAAUUUAGUUUCAUGGACAGCCAGGAAACAAGCGACUGUAUCUCGGUCAUCUACUGAGGCAGAGUACAAAGCACUUGCGAAUGCCACAGCGGAGAUGAUGUGGAUCCAGAAGCUGCUAGGUGAAUUAAAGGUUCCACAUCCACCGGCUGCUCGACUAUGGUGUGAUAAUCUCGGUGCAAAAUAUCUCUCAGCGAACCCAGUGUUUCAUGCUCGGACAAAGCACAUAGAGAUUGAUUUUCAUUUUGUUCGUGAAAGAGUAGCACAACGGUUGCUUGAUGUGCGAUUCACAAGCACGGCAGAUCAAUUGGCGGAUGGGUUCACGAAAGCUAUUCCAGCGUCCAAGCUGAAAGACUUUAGAACCAAUCUUAACCUUGUGUAUGCCUAAGAUUGAGGGGGAGUGUUAGAAUAUAGAAUAUGUAUCAUACAUGGUAAUGUAUUAUAACGUAUCUUGGUAGGACAUAUAAGCCAGAUACGACUAGGACUCUGUACCUAGACCUUCUAUGUACAUGCCUCCUGAGGGCUUGUCUCAGACGUAUAUAAACACGCACCCAGGGCCCUGGACGGGUAUCCUGGUUUCUCUAGUUUUACAAUCAGAAACAGUAAAGUAACAGCCGACAGAGGGAUAUAGCCCACAGUAGAGUGAUUAUAACAAAAGUAGACCAGAGUCUGAAAAAAUAUAUAUCAAAUAUAAUGGAUACUAUUGAUGAUGAAGGUUAGAGCUUAGCAAAAUUAAAGACAAGCUGUUUCUGAUUUUUAUGAGAAUUUCCAUGGUUUAGGUGUGAUGAAGAUUAAGGUGUCAGCUCCAUCAGAAACCUCCAAUUAGUAAUUUUAAGAUGAGAGCGUGGAGUGUUAAAAUGGUUGGUGCUUAUAGCUCAAUAAUUAGUUAGUUAGUUAAUUGUAGAGUCCAAUGAUUUACUUCUUCUUGGUCCCGUCGAAAUAUACGACUGAGGUGAGCCAAAAAGUCAAUACAGGUCGAGUUGAUGCAUGUGAAUGCAACUAAACCUUUUUUAAUUUGUUGUUGAAUAAAUCAUCAAAGCACGGAAAAUUAGCUACAGUUUGCUUUUCCAGGGAACUACUGAACCAGAACAGAGAAUGAUGUGGAGACACAACACACCUGUUGAAAGAGAUCAACGGCUGCCUUUUGUUGGAGACAUUUGAUGCUGCACACUAGAUCCUCUGCGCCUGCACAGUGUACGGCAACGCUUUCUUCUGUGGUAACGAUGACGAUGCAGCUUUCACUUGUUGCAGAUAUCAACUGAGCAUCUUCUAUCAUCUUCCAUUCUUCCCUUGACUUCACCUCAUCAAUAACGACAAGGCACCGAAAGUUACGCAGGAAAUACUGGCAUCUUUGGAUGGGAGUUUCGCCUUCGAGUAAUCUUGAAGGGAUAUCAGAGAGCAGGCACCGGCAAAAGCCCAUAAGAUUGUCCGGUUGGUACAUACGGAGUAUCCUCAUAUAUUGAAAGUCCUGCAUCCUAUAGCAGACAUUGGUGACGACAGCUGUUCUCCCUGAACCAGGAAGUCCCCACACGCAUAUCACACGAGGUUUGCCGUUGUGUGGUCCUCUACGCUUUACUAGGUUGAAAACUUUCUUGAAUUCUGCGUCGCGGCCAACAAGGCGACUGUUCUUCCACAUUUUUUCGAUUUCUUCGAUUGAGACAAUACCAGUUACAUUCGUCGCACCCUAUAAAUUAAAGGAGAUCAAUGUCAACAAGCAAUGCAAACCAGAAGAUAAUAUUAUAAGAUAAUAUAGCCUGGCGACAUUAUGGAUUGUGACCGCUUGACUACGUUUUGUGCUACCUCAUGUUCUGUAAAUGCUUUUUAUAGUACUGAGUAAGUGACAGCAUAUAGCAUUCUAAUUUUACAUUAUGCUAUUAAUUUACUUCCCUCGGAUUAAUUGGAAUUGGGCUGCAGCCUGCAGGACAUUGAGUAGAUAGACACAAUAUGUACGAAACUUAGGCACACAGGUGAACUUGGCUAAGCCUAAAGGUAGUCAACAAAACAUAUUUAUAAAGACAAAAUCAAUUUUGCCACUUGAUUCUAACAAAUAAAAUAUGCAUGCGCUACACACUGACCCACUUGUGAUUUUUUUUUGUGCAAAUAAAAGUAUAUGGUGAUAUGUAUUUGAUCGCUAUCUAAUGCGUUGUUUAACAAAGCUCAUAGAUUUCCUAGCUAGCUAGAUCUGGUCACCUAAAGCUCUAGAAAAUCCUAGAUCUUGCAUUGAGCUGCAAAAUCUGGAUCUAGAGCUGCAGUCGUAGUCGUAUUAAGUACUGUACUUAAUGACUCAUUUUUGUUUAUAUUUUAGAUUAAAUAUAAUAUAAUUAAACUACUUUAGUUUGGAGCCUGUUUAGCAGGGCUGGACCUGCGGCUCCGGCUCUGGUUCCUUCAAAGAAGUUCUGCCAAACGUUUUUUUUCUAGACAAACCGUUUCUUAGUAAAAGUUAGAGAAGUCGGAACCGUUUUGACAAAGUUACAAUUAUGACUUCAACAAAACGGCUCCAGCUCCUCUAGAGAAAUCUCUCGUAAAAGAAGCGCAGCCAAAACAAGCCUACAUGUCCAAGCAUAGAUAUCGGAGGUACUCCCUCCGUUCCGAAAAGAGUGACGUUUUUAACUUUCAGAUAUCGUGUUUGACCAUUCGUCUUAUUUAAAAAUUUUAUGUAAAUUAUAAAAUAAAUUAAUCAUGGGUAAAGUAUCUAUAAUGAUAAAAUAAGUUUUAACAAAAUAUAUAAUGUUUAUGUAAAAAAAUUGAAUAAGACGAAUGGUCAAAUAAGAUGUCUGAAAUUCUAAAACGAUACUCUUUUUGGGACGGAUGGAGUAGGUAUUAGAGCGCUGUGCCAAUGGGUCCUAAUAAUAAUAAUAAGGAAAAAAAGUGCCGACAAUCGAUCUUACCGUAUUGAAAAAGACGCAGAUAGACUGACUAGCGGAGAGCCGCCGGAGCUCCGACACCCGGUACGGCUUCCCUGUGCAUAGGCUUGCGAUUUCACGGUGGCGUGUGGACACAACGAUACGGCUGCCCUUCUUCUCGCCCGGCACCCGCAUCAGGUACGGCCUGAUGGAAUCCCACUGAUCCAUGGCGGAUAGGUCUUCAAGGACGAUGAGGUACGGCUGCGCCUCGUUGAUCUUCCGCACAAGCUCCUUUACGAGAUCUCCAGCCGAGGUUUCCGUCCACGACAAGGCAUCUCUCCCUUUCUUUAGACGGCGGUAAAGCAGCCACCACAGGGCUGCGUCUUCGUCUUGUUGGUCUUGUUGACAAGAGUUUGCGUAGAACUGAACCACCAAGCUCCUGAUGAGCUCAGGGAUGUUGAUAGGAUGCAUCACCUUCACCCAGGCACGGGAUCUGAAGCGCUUAUGUACUUCUGGUUCAUCAUACAUGCUCCUAAUGAUGGACGUUGUCCCAAAAUCGUCUCCUGUACUUCCCCACACUGAGAUCACUUGAAUAUCGUUGCUUCCCCCCAUGACCAACUUGGUGAGGUCACCAACACUUCUGUACCUCGCCGCUGUGUGCCUUGCCUCAACAAGGAUGUCAAAUCCUCUUGUGCCAGUGCCGCCGGGCCCCGGCACCACCUCCUCCUGCGGCGGCGGCGUGGGGAACUUGGAGCCUGCAGAGUCGUCACUGGUGAUGGUGAUGGCCCCGUACCGCUUGUUCCUCUGGCUCAAUUCCUCGACGCGGGCCUUGAGCAGUUUUAUUUUGGUGACUGCUUUAUCCACGGGCAGCGCUGCUGCUUCCUCUUUGCUGCAGCUGCAUGAGGGACGCAACCGGAGCCACCAUCGCCUCUUAUCUGUGUCCAGAUGGCGGAUGAACUCAAUACAGUCUUCAAGAUCAUGGGACAAGUAGCGGGCCUGCCUCACCCAGGUCCUCCCCAUAUUGGUCUUCACUGCCGCCUCCCUGUCGGCGGAGCCGAGGAAAGACUCCAUCAUCUCGAACUCGUCUACGAUGAACAUCAGAUCACGCUUCACGAUCUGCCACUGCUCCGCCUCUUCCUUUAUCGCGGACCUGACCUUGUUCACCACCGCCUCCACUGCUACCUUGGAAAUCCCCUCCAUUAUUGCUCUCUUCGCUUCGCCUCUCUAUGCUAUGUUGUUUGGUUGUGUGGAACAAGAGGUAUUGCUAAGCCGUGGAGUCGUCAUAUAUAUCUUUUAUAUAAUGAACAUCGCAACUUUUUUUUAGCUGGCAAUUUUUUUUCUUUCGUUUAUAUUUGAUAAUUAUUGUCCAAUUAUAAACUAAGUUCAAAAGAGUCGUCUCAUAAAUUACAGAUAAAUUGUGUAAUUAGUUAUUUUUUAUGUAUAUUUAAUAUUUCAUGCAUAUACCGUAAAAUUUGACGUGAUAUAAAAUCUAAAAAAGUUUUUGGAUUUUAUGGUGAACUAAACAAGACCUAAGACCCACCAACCAAGUAAAAUGAACUGCAGGGUAGCAAUUUCAUUUUAUUUGGCAAUUAGUGUCCAUCAUAGACUAAUUAUAUUCAAAAGAUUCGUCUCACAAAUUACUCUUUAAUUAUGUUUUUAGUUUAAUAAAUAGUCUAUAUUUACUAUUUCAUGCAUGUGUCCAAAUAUUUAAAUAGGGCAGCUGCUGUUACACUAACCCAACAAAGCUGGAGCCGGCGCAUGCCCCACCAAAGAGGCCCUGCUGGGUAGGCGUUGCUGUAGCAAAAAUCCGAUACAGUCCGCGGCUUCAGCUAUUGAUAUGGAUGGGAGUAGGCCUGGGCAUUCAGUCAAUUUCGCGAAAUAAUUAUCAAGAAUUUUGGUUUCAGUAAAAUUUAACCAAUCUUUUUUGCCGAAGCGCCUAUCAAAAAAUGUAUCUAUAUAACUUACAUAUUGAACUUUCAGUUAAAUUUUAGUUUAAGUAGAAUCAAUCAAAAUCAGUUUCGGUUAAAUCGGUUCCAUCUACUUACAUAUUGAACUUUCAUAGGAGAUAGUACAGCCAUAUAAUUGUAUCGAAAAGCACCCAUCAAGGCCUUGCUUACUUCUAAAAAUUUUUGCAACACUAGUACAGGGAUAUAUUGUACAAGCGGUUGGUAACCUAUUUCUACUAGCAUUUUUCAGCACCGCCUGCGCUGGAGGCCAAUAGAAAUGGGUCAAUUCCACAUGCGGUUCCUUGUGAUCUCAAAUAGAACCUGUAUGCCCUAUGAUCUCAAAUAGAAUCACCAUGUUUUUCUCAAACUCUCACUAUGCUUAAGUAUGCAUGCAUAGCUCGAUUUACAUCUCUAGCAGUUUGAUGAAUGGAGCAUAGCUUUCUUUCGGGUAAUCUGCAGAGUCUAGUACCAACACCCUUCCCUCCUUGGGAUAAAUGAUGAAGAUCCAGUGGUUUCUGCUCGAAUCAAAUUCAUGAUGCAUUUGUGCAAUGGAAUAGUUUAGAUAGAUAAAUGUAAACUUACACUUACCCAAAGUGGUACGGGGCCACCACCAACGGUUUCCUAUCUUGAAACUUUAUUAGUGAAUGUCCAAUAUAGAAGGCGUAUUUGUCUUCAAAAUCAAGUUUCAACUUUCGGAGUUUCUCAUCCCGUUCUGCACCUUCCAAACCCUGUAGCUCUGUGUUGCCAUCCCCAAUUCAGAAUGUGUGCCGAUCUUUGGCUAUAUCUAUUGGGCAGAGAUAGCCAUUCCUUUCAUCGACACAAUAAUGAAAGUCUGAACCAAAAUACAAAUCUUGUUGAUCAUAUAACAUUCUGCAAGGCACAAGCAUGUCACAUAUUGAAAAUUGAUGCAACUACAAUGUGUCUAACUAUGUAACACUUACAAUGCAAAUAUCGUUACGAUCUGUACGUCUAGCAUCUCGUGGUUCAUCAGUCCCCACAUGUCAUCGAAUGUAAGCAUGCAUUUGUUAGUACUCUGGCUAAGAAAUGUUAUUUGUGGUAUGCACAUGGUGGUGGUGUCGAUGCCAGCAGAAGAGGCUCUCAUGUACCAGUCAUGAAACCUUUUUAUACCACUUGGUUUCUUCAAGAGUUUGGCCCGACUGAGUAGAGACUUUCCCCACACAUACUUUUUAGGGAUAUGCUUGUAGUCUUCUGCAAUUGGCACCUUGAAUUUGGCAGGAGUUAUGACCUUAGGCGCCGGCACCUCUGACUUUGCUAGCUUAGAAAUCUCAUGCUCUUCUACUGUGCGUUUCAAAGCAAUGUCUCACAAAAAAUCUCACUUGCCCAGCUGAUUUUUUCUUCAGCUCGUAUGGUGAAGUGUAUCAGAAAAUUCUUAUUUGGCACCUUUGGUGGCUCACUUCUUGGUUCUGGAUCUUUGAGUUGUGGGGAAGGGGUGGAAUUGAAUGGUGGUGGAGAUUGUGUUGACUGUGGGGUAGAAAGAUCAUGGAGAGAAGAUGGUUGAUGGACAGGAAAAACAUGGAGAGGCGAUUCUGGUGGGUCGGGAAGAGAAUAGGGAGGUGAAGACGGUGGGUUCGGAAGAGGACCAACAUGAGCUGACGACUCCUAGGUGAGUGUCUAAAAGGUCCUUGAUUGGUUUUGGUAAUUGAGUGACAACUUAGGUGGACUAAUAGUGUUUAUGUGAGAUACACAGGAGAUUAGUCCACAGGUGAUUAUGUGAUGAUGGAGGAGCUCAUUGCACAUGAGACAUGACAUGGAGUCAUGUGACCAAGGUGGAGAAGAUCAAGAUGAGGCUUGGCUUGAUGGACCGGUUGCAAGAGUGAAGGGCAAGUCGGAGGCUUUGAAGCGAGGGACCGCAUGUGACGGUGAAGCUUGAGCAAGACUUGGCGCCGAUGGACCGAGGCAACGGUGAAGAGCAAGUGAGGUCAAGAUCGAUGAACCAAUACGGUCACGUGAUAAUAUGAAGUGGAUCAUAUCAUUUGGUGAUUGGUUGGUGCAUGUGUUGCAUCAACAUCGGAGGAGUUGAAAUGGAAAGCGCAAGGCAAAGGUAUAACCUAGGGCUUUUCUAUUUCACCGGUCAUAGGUGUGCAGAGAAGUUUAUGACCAGAUUUAGGAUAGAUGGCCGUACUAUCAAGAGGGGCAAACUUGUUUGCAUAUCGAUCAUCUAGUGCCACUUGAGCGAUCUAACUUUGCAUACGUGUUAGGAUCGAGUGGCGUGGCAAGUUUGAGAGGAUCCUUUGGGAAAAUGUUUGUGAAAAUGCUAACACACAUGCACAAGGUGGUGUACACUUGGUGGUGUUGGCACAUUUACAAAGGAGGUGGAGUUCCUAGGGUUGAGAGGGGUGUGGGUUCCUCUCUCCCUCCCGCCGAGCUUGCUCGGCGGGAUUCGGCGCUUUUGAGAAAAUUAAGUGUAUAUUUUCUAUUGCGCCGAUGGGAAAUUUAGAGAAGUCGCGGGAGUGUUUUCUCACUGAGAAACACUCACCGAACGCUGAGUGCGGAAGCACCGGACGCUGGCUUCAGAGUCCGGUGUGCUUGACCCUGCUAGGGUUGAGCACCGGACGCUCUCUAAGUGCGUCUGGUGGGGUGCGUCCGGUGUGAGGACGUUUUGUGACCCUCGCUCUCUGCGCAUGGGUCCGGUGAGCACCGGACGCUACCGGUGCUUAGCGUCCGGUGACCCUGCAGGUCUACGGAGCUCUCUGCGCACGAGUACGGUGUGCACCGGAUGCGUCCGGUGUGAACUAGUUGAGCGUCCGGUGGUGCUGAGUCAGGUGCGAGCGCGUGGUAGCUGUUGGCGGCAACGGUCGAGUUCAAACGGCUAGUGACACGUGGCUGACGCCUGAGCACCAGACGCUGAGAGUUGAGCGUCCGGUGGCUCCGUGUGAGCGUCCGGUGCCCACGUCUUUUGCCCAGUGAAGGGGCAACGGCUAGUUUAGCCCUUGGGGCUAUAAAUAGAAGUGGUGGCCGGCCUUGGCUGGUGCUGAGCACCCUUGAGACUUAGUGUCCAUGCUUGGGGAGUGCUAAGAAAGCCUCUAACUCACUUGUGCUUGCAAGAGUGCGAAUCAUAGCGAGUGAGUGAUUCUAGUGCGUUGCAUUGAGAGAUUGCAUCGAGUGGCACUAGGUGUUCGUGUUGCAAGCCGGUGGUGCUUGCUACUCUUGGAGGUUGCCACCUCCUAGACGGCUUGGUGGCUUGUGACUCCGUCGAAGCACGCAAGGAGAUUGUGCGGUGCUCCGGAGAAGAGAUUGUGAGGGGUACAGUGCUCACCCCGCGGGGAUCGCAAAGAGCAACUCUAGUUGAGCGAGACGUGAAGAGCGACAAGUGGUCCGGCUGGGUCAAGUGCUAGAGCUUGUGGUAAGCACUCCAUGUGGGAGAGUGUGACUUGCGGGUCACCACUAGCAAGAGGACCGGCGGCAACCUUGGAGCUUGUCUCAACGGGGACGUAGCUUGGUGGCAACCAAGUGAACCUCGGGAGAAAAUCAUCGUGUCAACAUUGUUCUUUCCGUUGGUUUGCAAAGUCCCUAACACAAGCUUGUUCUUACAUUCAUAUACUUGUGCUUGUGUAGUUGCUCUUGUAAUUAGUUAGCUUGUGUAGCUUACUAGUUACCUUCUUGCUUGUGUAGCUAGAAGUAGUUCCCUUGCGUGACUAAUUUGGUUUGUGUAACCUUGUUAGUCACUUUGCUUAGUUUGUGUAGCUAAGUAAUUUGUGCUCUUUAAUUUGGCAUUGGUUGCCUUGUUAUUGAGCUUUGCUAGUGAGCUUAGGAGCUUUAUGCUUUUGCUUACUAGUUGUGUAGGAGCUCUCCGUUUUGCAAAGUACUAGUGGCAUAGGUUUGUGUGACCUUGCUUCUAGAAUUGGUUAGAUGAGCUCUUGCUAAGGUAGCACCUUGUUUGCUUGUUUAGGAUCUUUUACAAGGUGCUAGAGAACUUAGAUAGAGUGGUGUAGUCUUGGCUAGACCGAUAGUUUUAAUUCCGCACUUAUUUCGGUUAGCCGGUGCGAUAAAUUUUAGAAAGGAUUAUUUACCGCCCCUCUAGUCCGCCAUCUCGACCCUUCAGUGGCAUCUCUUGAGAGGGUAGUGGUGGCUCCCUCAGUUGCAUGUCCCUCUAAGGCCAAAUGAUGAAAUUGUUUAUCGCCUGUUCGAGUUUCAUAAUGUCCUCAAGACCAGAGAUGUCUAGAAUCUCGUCCUCAUAUCCUUGGACCACGGUCAAUACCUCUAAUCUAUAGUAGUCUUUAGGAAUCUCAGCACUAUGGUAUUUAGGUCCUCCUGGAAUCGCUUUGCCCGUUGCUACUUCCCUUGUACGAUGAUUGUUAUGUUAUGACUAGGGAGCAAGGCAUAGAAGUAACAAUGUCGUCAACUGGAUAGUGAUUCUUGUAUUUGCCGUAGAUGUGACACUCCUUGGAAUGAUUAUUUCACUCUGUGACACCACUAGAACUAGCUGCAUUUGGAGAGCCUGAGUGCUGAUAUGUUGAUUUGACACCGCACUCGCAAGUUUCUGCAUCAACUCAGGAGGAGGGUUUUCUAGCAACUUCCCCAUCAUCUCUUGGAAGUCUUUCUUAGGCCUUGUUUAGUUCCCACCGAAAUCCAAAAAGUUUUCAAAAUUCUCCGUCACAUCGAAUCUUGCGGCACAUGCAUGAAGCACUACAUAUAAACAAAAACAAAAACUAAUUAUACAGUUUGCCUGUAAAUCGUGAGAUGAAUCUUUUGACCCUAGUUAGUCUAUGAUUGGACAAUAUUUACUACAAACAAACGAAAGUGCUACAGUAGUGAAAUCUAAAAAGAUUUUGCAUCUAAACAAGGCCUUAGCCUCUUCCUGAAAAUAAGUUGCCAUUUGUUCCUUGUACCGAUCAUGUUUCUUUUACUCAUUUUCCACUGAGGGCCGAAUCCAUCCUUCCAUCCUUCUUUGGAUGAGAUGCCUCGAACACGGCCAGGAUGCUCGGGGUUACGAGUAAGCCUCGGUGUUCGGGUUACCCAAAUUUUUCGGGUUGGGUAAAUCGGGUAAUUCAAAAUUCGGAUAAUAAAAAUUGUUACCCGAUAUUAGUCUAAAAAAACAAUACCCGCAAUUUUGGGUACCCGAUAAUUCGGGUUCGGGUUUGGGUAUUCCCGAUUUACCUGAAUUUUCAGAAAACAACACACUACACAAAAUUUUCAUAGCAAUUUAUAUAUAAUUUCAGCAGCAAUUUGUAUAGAAUUUCAAUAGCAUUUUGUAGAGAAAAAUAUAUUACGGUCACUUAUUCAAACAAAGAGAAUUAUAUUCUAAUAAAUUGAUAAGUUCUAAUGUUUAACUAACACAACAUGUGAUAAAUACAAAAGACAUACACAAAUGUUUGGGUAACUCGGGUAGUUUCGGGUACCGGGGGAUAUUACCCGAAUUACCCAAACUAAUUUUUGGUAAUCAAAAUUGCUAUCCAAAUUUAGGAUUGGGUACCUCGGGUUUGGGUAAUUCGGGUCCAGGUUCGGGUAAUUCGGGUACGGGUAAUGGCAUGUGUAAAUGUUACAUUGCAUAACCACAGACGGUUGUUACAUUUACACAGACGGUUGGCUUAAGCCAUGCACCUGUUGAAAGCCCAAGUUUGGUUUUGGUAAUUAUUGACACCAAGUUGCUAAUGCCUUGUGUUUAAGUGAUUUGAGUUAGGCAUAGCAACACAUGUGAUGAAGGUGCACGGUGGCAUGGAAAGGUGGCCACAUGAUCACAAAGGGAUGAAGCAUGAAGUGGAGAUCAUGGUGAUAGACGAGGAGCAAAGUUAUCAAGGCAAAGAUAUAAACAUAGGGUUUUACUUUUGCCGGUCUAAGAUGAGUAGAGAAGUGAUUGACCGGGUUUAGGAUAGAUAGCCGACUAUCAAGAGGGGAAAUCACGGUCAUCUCUCGAAUCAAGUGCUACUAGGUCCAUAUCUUGAGCAUAUGCAUUAGGAUCUAGUAAAGUGCUAACUUAACUCCUUUGGUGAAAAUGUUUGUGAAAAGCUAACACACUUGCACUUUGGUGGUGGACACUUGUUGGUGUUAGCACAUUUACAAAGUAGGGUUGAGAGGGGUGUGGGUUCCUCUCUGCGCAAGCUCGGCGGGAUUCGGCGCUUUUGAGAAAAAUAAGUGUAUAUUUUCUAUUGCGCCGGUGGGAAUUUUAGAGAAGUCGCGGGAGUGUUUUCUCACUGAGAAACACUCACCGGACGCUGAGUGCGGAGGCACCGGACGCUGGCCUCAGCGUCCGGUGAGCUUGACCCUGCUAGGGUUAAGCACCGGACGCACUCUGAGAGCGUCCGGUGGUUAGCGUCCGGUGUGAGGGGUUUUUUGUAACCCUCUCUGCGCACGAGUCCGGUGAGCACCGGACCGUCCGGUGCCUAGCGUCCGGUGAGGUCGCGAGUUUGACAAACUCUCUGCGCACGAGUCCGGUGAGCACCGGACCGUCCGGUUCCCAUCGUCCGGUGUGUUGCAGGUAGCAGUUAGAAACUGACACGCGAAAUCGAGGAAGGACACGUGGCCAACUCUAGUGCACCGGACGCAGGGUGUCGAGCGUCCGGUGCUCACUUAGUAGCGUCCGGUGCCCCCGAUUUCAGCCCAGUGAAAACAGCCAACGGCUAGUUUCUUUGAGGGGCUUAUAAAUUGAGGGUGGCCGGAUUUGGGAGCUCAUCUCUUGCACAUUUGAUUACUUGGGACAUACAUUGAGCUAGAGAACACUCCCUCCACUCAUCUCCUUGCUUGAUUGCUCAUCCUAGUGAGAUUGAGUGAGAUUCAAGUGCAUUGCUUUGAGAGUUGCAUUUAGUGGCACUUGAUUCUUGAGUUUGCUGCGGAUUUCUUGUUACUCUUGGGUGUUUCCCGACGCCCUAGACAUCUUGGAGCAGCGGUGGUGUUGAGCUCGUGAUUGGAGAUUGUUUCGAGCCUCACCAAGUGAUUUGUGAGGGGUUCUUGAGCCUUCCCCGCGGGUGAUCGCAAAUUGGUUACUCUAGUGGAUUGCUCGUGGCUUGGAGGAUCCCCAUCUUGUGAGUGGAUGUGCGACACCCGCUGAGGGUUUGGCUUUGGAUUGCCAAUUAGCUCGUGAUCCAUCAAGUGGGUGUAUCGCCACAACGAGGAGUAGCUUGCCGGGAAGCAAGUGAACCUCGGUAAAAAAUCUUGUGUCAUCUCUUGCCGAGGUCUUUCUUGUGAUUGUGAGUGAUUGGUUGGAUAUAUCUCUACUCUACAACGUUGGUAUAACAAUCACUCUCCACUCCUUUACUUACUUGUUUAUCUUGCUAGUUGUUUAGCUUGUUUAGUUUAGUCUUCUUGUUUAGGAGUGUAGCAAGUUUAUAGUUGUGCUUUCUUGUUGUAACUUGUGUUUAGCUUUCUUGCUAGACUUGUGUAGGUGGCUUGCAUAGCUUAGUUGUGCUAGUGCUAGAAUAGCGUCGCCUUUUGUUUUACUAAUCAACUUGUCUAGUUGAAGUUUGUAGAAAUUUUAAAUAGGCUAUUCACACCCCCCUUCUAGCCAUUUGGACCUUUCACCUGUGAUAAUGCAUCUUCAUAAACAGUUGGCAGCUCUGACACCGCCCUUUUUAUACCACAGGCGCGUGAUAACUAGAACCGCCUGUGGUAUAAAAAGGGGGCGUCGUCGUUGUACUCUUUUCUACUAUUGCAAAAUAAGAACCGUAGCCGUUUCGUUUGUAUUUGACAAAUAUUGUCCAAUCAUAAACUAACUAGGCCCAAAAAAUUCGUCUCGCAAAUUACAGGUAAACUAUAUAAUUAGUUAUUUUUUUUAUCUAUAUUUAGUGCUCCAUGCAUGUAUCCAUGAUUCGAUGUGAUGGAGAAUAUGAAAGUUUUUACAAAAUAUUUUAGGCCCAAGAAAUGCAUCUCGUAAGGAAAAGCAACGGUGGAUACUUCUAGCCAAUAUAUAAUAGAUGUCUAGGCUUUGUUUAGUUCGCGAAAAGAAAGUUUUUAGGUGUACAUAUCGGAUAUGUCGUUACACAUUUGAAGUAUUAAACAUAGAUUAAUAAAAAAAAUUAUAUAGCUCGUCUAAAACUACGAGACAAAUUUAUUAUGACUAUUAAUCUGUCAUUAGCAUAUGUAGGUUAUUGUAGCAGUUAUGACCAGACUAAUUGGGCUUAAAAGAUUCGUCUCGCGAUUUACAACUAAACCAUGUAAUUAGUUUUUUCAUUUAUAUUAAAUACUCCAUGCAUAUAUCCAAAUAUUCGAUGUGAUAAGCUAAAAAUAUUUGGAUGGGGAACUAAACAAGGCCCUACUUAAAAGUUUAGAGACCCAAAAGCGUUGAUGGAUCUAGGUGACAUCUCCACAAAAGUUAAGAUCUCUAAUGCAUUUUAUUCAUUAAAUAUUGAUGGAAUGUCUCUCAAAUUACAAAUAAAUUAUACAAUUAAUUAUUUUUUAUCUAUAGCUCUAUAUAUGUGUCCAGGGCCGGAUCUAGAAUCACCAUUUAGAGAGGGCUAAUUAGUAAAGUGUUGCUUGGGCUAGUUGUAGGAUGAGCUAUCUUGAGCCGAACAUUAGGGAUUUUUAUGGACUUCGGAAGUUUUGCUUAUAGAAAAUUUGGGCUGCGCCUUGGGCUACAGCUCCCCUAGCCGGGGGCCUAAAUCUACCUUUGUAUGUGCCGUAAGAUUCAAAGCUCCCCUAGCUCAGGGCCUGAAUCUAUUUUUGUAUGUGCUGUAAAAUUUAAUAUUACGAAAAGUCUUAAAAAAUUUUGUAAAAUCUUUUGGAUCUAAACAGCCCCUCGGAGUUGCUCUAGGUAUGGACGCUCGUGGCGACGACCUUCACCUGGCAUAUGCAUGCAGCAGCGGCCAUGAGAGUUUGGGUUGUCCCUCGGUUCUGUUCACCUCAAACCGUCCUUGAUCUCACUGUCGUGUCUCGUCACGUUCACACACUACACUCUCUCUCGAGCGCGCGCAGGGUCGCACUCGCAUGCUCGUGACUCGUGAGGCCGCGAGGAGUAUGCAGGCAGGCUGUGACAGUGACUAGUAUUAUGGCCCGCUGCUGUGACAGUGACUAAUAUUAUGGCCCAACGCUGCGGAAAGGCCUUGUUUAGUUACGAAAAGUGAAAACUUUUCAGUACUGUAGCACUUUCGUUUGUUUGUGAUAAAUAUUAUCUAAUUAUAGACUAACUAGGAUCAAAAGAUUCGUCUCGUGAUUUACAACUAAACUGUUUAAUUAGUUUUUGUUUUCGUUUAUAUUUAAUGUUUCAUGCAUGUGCCACAAGAUUCGAUGUGACGGGGAAUCUUGAAAACUUUUUGGUUUUCGGAGUGAAGUAAACAAAGCCAAAGUGACUAUUGGGUCAUCUUCAGUGUACGUUUUAUAGCCCAGCUAACACAUCCAUAUUUUAUAAACACUAGAAUUUCAUCCACAUAAAACUCUCUCUAGUCUAUAAAACUUUAUCAUAUCCCUCUUCAUUAAUAUAAUGUCACAUCAGUAUAUUUAAUGUUUACUAAUAAAAUCUCAUUAAGACUGGCCUCAUGGCCCAACACUGCCAACAAAUGUGGCUAGGCUUUUCUUUCCACCGACACAUUCUUAGGCUCUGUUUAGUUCCAAAAAUAAAAAAUAACUAAUUAUGUAGUUUGUCUGUAAUUUGCGAAACGGAUCUUUUGAGCCUAGGUAGUCCAUGAUUAGACAAUAAUUGUUAGAUAUAAACAAAAAUACUACAAUAGCCAAAUCUAAAAUUUUUCACCAACUAAACAAGGCCUUAGCAGUACAGAACACCAAUCAUUCCACCGACACAUUAUUAGCAGUACAGAACACCAAUCAUUUCUGUCUUCAAGUAAGGCCUUGUUUAGUUGAGGAGGUAAAAAAUUUUUGGGUAUCAUAGCACUUUCGUUUUUAUUUUGCAAUUAUUGUUCCACCAUAGACUAAUUAGGCUUAAAAGAUUCGUCUCGUAAAUUAUAGGCAAACUGUGCAAUUAGUUGUUUUUUAUCUAUAUUUAAUGUUUCAUGCAUGUGCCACAAGAUUUGAUGUGACGGGAAUUUUGAAAAGUUUUGUGUUUUUUCUUGAAAUGUGACUGGGAAUUUUUUGUAGUCUCGUCACUUACUAUCUCAAUACGCUUUCAAAAUAUUUGUAGCUGACUUUAUUUGUAUUCCACAUAGAGUCAAAUAUACAUGCCCUUCCAUCCCAACGAUAGAUUAUGAAUGCAAUCCAGUGGUCCAUGAUACCCUUGCUGCACCAUUCACACAAUAUAGAAUUGAAAUGUUCAAAUAUGACAAGUCAUAAUCCCAUGAGCUAUAUUAUAGACGAGCCCAACCUCCCGUUCCGACCCAGUGCUCUCUCCCACCGCCUAUGUGUGUGUGUGUGUGUAUAUAUAUAUAUAUAUAUAUAUAUAUAUAUAUAUAUAUAUAUAUAUAUAUAUUACAAGUAUCUUAUCGACUUACUCGAACUGGUGGGUGGCCAUGAUACACCCAUUUUCCUUGGCUUUCUUCAUGGCUUCAUAGAUAUACAAGCUUGUCCGGUACUUAUACUCGAUUUCUACAUCUACUUGGAAUUGCUUUCUCUCCUCCUUGUUCGAGUUCACUAAGUCUGGACUAAUGUCCGGUACAUCAUAACCCGCGAUGGUUCUCUCAGUAAUAAGCAUCUGAGAGAGAUAGAUAAUACUCUUGUUCAAUUCCUGGUCUGAUCUGGUAUAUAUGCAUCACUCGAAACUAGCGUUUGGUGGUGGUUCAGAAGGAGAAGGGGACUGGAGACAGGCAACCAGCAUCGCCGCUAGGGUUGAGGUGACUAGGCGUGGCAGGUAGAUGUCAUACGAUGAGAAAUGCAGGCGGCGCGUGGUGGAGGCCGGCGCGGUGGGCGGAUGGCACAGUGGAAGCACCGCCACCGCCACGGCAUGGUGGCUAAUUCCAUGGCGAGGUGUAGGCUGGCGGCGCGCUGUUGACGGGUGGCGCGAUGGAGGCCUGCAUGGUGGGCCGAUGGCACAGUAAAGGCGUUGCCCGGCGCGGUGGCUAACUACCUAUUCGUACACUCGUUGUCGUUGGGAAAAAAUGCCGUUGCGUGGAGGAAUAUAGGCCGCCCGUCAAAAGCCCACCGGGGAGGUCGCGGGCCCAGUGAGAAGGUGUGGGGAUAGUUGCAGGAGCAUCGGCAUGAAUACCGCUGAUUCUUGUUCAGUGCACUCCAGAUAUACAUUUAGGUCUUGUUUAGUUAUGAAAAGUUUUUGGUUUUAGAUAUUAUAACAUUUUUAUUUUUAUUUAAUAAUUAUUAUCUAAUUAUAAACUAACUAGGUUUAAAAGAUUCAUUUCGCGAUUUACAGGUAAACUGUGCAAUUAGUUUUUGUUUUGGUCGAUAUUUAAUGCUUCAUGCAUGUGCCACAAGAUUCAAUGUGAUGGGAAAUCUUGAAAGGUUUUUGGUUUUAGGGGUGAGGCUUAGGCCUUGUUUAGUUCCCCGGAUGAAAAGUUUUUGGAUAGACAUUUUCGUUUAUAUUUGGCAAUUAUUGUCUAAUUAUAGACUAAUUAGGCUUCAAAGAUUCGUCUCGCAAAUUAUAAGUAAACUGUACAAUUAGUUUUUUUUUAUCUAUAUUAAAUGCUUUAUGUAUGUGCCGCCAGAUUUGAUAUUAUAAAAAAUCUUGAUUUUUUUUUAAUUUUAGGUGAAUUCGCAGGAAGGACGCUAGCGGGCCCAACCAAGCCGCCGCCGACGGGACCUUGACCUGAGACAUGUACGUCCAUGGGCCCAUGAGGCCACGAGUCCAUGACUGCUUGUUGUCGCCUGUCGCUCUGUUUUGUUCACCGUGGCUGCUUAAGGGCCCGUUUAGAUUUGAGAUGAAAAUUUUUGAGUCUUACAUCGGAUGUGUCGGAAAGAUGUUGGGAGGGGUUUUUAGAAACUAAUAAAAAAACAAAUUACAUAGCUCGUUAGGAAACUGCAAGACAAAUCUAUUAAGCAUAAUUAAUCUAUCAUUAGCACAUGUGAGUUACUGUAGCACUUAAGGCUAAUCAUGGAGUAACUAGGCUUAAAAUAUUCGUCUCGUGAUUUUCAACUAAACUGUGUAAUUAGUUUAUUUUACAUUUAAUAUUCCAUGCAUAUGUCUAAAGAUUCGAUGGGAUGGAUGAAAAAAUUUUGGGUGGGGAACUAAACAGGGCCUAAACCCAUUGAUAGUCCAUUGAUCACAGCUGUGUUGUGUCUAUGUCACUGUGUGCUUGUACAGAUCACCAAGACCAGGAGCUUUGUUCGGUUCUAAAAGUUUUGUAAAAUUUUUUAAGAUUUUCUAUCAUAUCGAAUCUUUAAAUAUAUGCAUCGAGUAUUAAAUAUAAAUUAAAAAAUAAUUAUUAUACAAUUUAACUGUAAUUUAUAAAACAAAUCUUUUAAAUCUAAUUAAUCCAUAAUUAAAUAAUAAUUAUCAAAUAUAAAUAAAAGUUAAAUUUUUCACCAACUAAACAAAGCCUUAGCUGAGGGGCGGCAUGAAUCAGCUCUAUUGACUGAGCUGGUCGACGGUGUGGCCCAACCCCGGCCAGCAAGGCAGCAAUCAAGCAAAUGUGGCCAGGCUUUCCUUCCAUUUUAAUUUCACCGGCAACGGCAAAGCUCUCUUCCACCAACACAUUCGCAGCUUCCUUCAGCUGUAAAGAACACCAAUCACUUGUGUCUUCAAAUUUUAUUCGUAUGUAGAUGAAACAUCCUCUACCAUGCUGACAAAUCGGAGUACCUCGCAACACUACUCUACUCUACUAAUACUCCCUCCGUGUUUACGUAUGUACUGUGCAGCGGCUAGCUGAACGGACGUGCUCUUGGCAGUGAGCGCAGGGGUAUUUCCGUCCCCGUCAGCAGCUGCCAGUGCAGAACGACAAGUGUUGAGAAAAUGCGCACUGCACUCUUCAGCAACACAAUACUCAACGAGCCUCCUCACGUGUUGCAGUGAGGGACUUAACGAAUACAGACAGUGAGCUCAACAGUAGGUGAGAACAGUAAAUGCUCUCUCUCCCCUUAAUGGUGGUUUCACUCCCUUUAUAUAGGGCUCGCGAACCGACCUAAGACUAUUACAAAAAUGUCACGUGACGGUGGGGGAAUACUCCGGCAUAUUCUAUGUUACAGCCUACUGACUAUAAGUGAUUUAUGUAAUUUCAUACUACGAGCUCCUCACGCGCUCCUCGCCAAGGGCUUCAGCUUGUCGAACGCUUGAAUCCUUCCUUCGGCAGCUGAACCUUCGUCGCUUCUACGUCGGAGGUUCCUCGGCUUGGCCACGCCGGAGGUUCUUUGGCCCAGGUGCGCCGAAGGCUUGCCAGCUCCGUUGCGUCCUCUGUCCUUCCUUCGGCCAUCCUUCAUCGUGGGAAGAUCCGAAGGUUCCUUCCUUCUCCGCUCGCGACCUCCAUUGUCGUCUUAGUCCAUGCAUUUGCUCAGUAUUACAAGAGAUACAUUAGCAUUAGUUUUGCCCAGAUCCUCCGCACUGUUGUAUUCGAAGGUUUCCAGGGCAAAGGUUAUGUCCGGAGGAAAUCCUCCGGAGCAGCCAGGCGGAGGAAGGUGGCGUCCAGCCCCCAACAACAAGUUUUGCAAAAUCGACACAACUUUUUUAGGCAUAGAGGGAGUAAGUAUUAAUAUUUUUAAAUAUAUAUUUAAUCAAAGUUAUUUAUCGGGAACCGAGAACAACAAUUAUUUUGGAACGGAGAGAGUAUGUUUUAAAAUCUCAAAAGCUAGUGAAAGUGUGUUGGGAAUCUUUUUAUCCACAUUCUCGGAAUUCCUUAGAUUUCAAACGGCACCUACUACGUACUACUUCCAGUACGAUUCUUAAAGACCAACUGGGUGGACUCAAUUAUUGUAAAUGGCGCGCAGCUGCGCCUGGUUCGCCUGGUUCUGGUUCAGUGCACACGGCUGAUGAUACAUGCAUGGUAAGAUCUGUGUUACAUCAAAAAAUUUUAAAAUUUUAACAUUGUAGUACUUUCAUUUAUAUUUAAUAAUUAUUGUUUAACUAUAGACUAACUAGGUCUAAAAGAUUCAUCUCGCAAAUUACAGACAAAUAGUGUAAUUAGUUUUUUAUUUAUAUUUAAUAUGUUAUAUAUGUAUCGCAAAAUUUGAUGUGACGAAGAAUGUUGAAAAAAAAUUUAGAUUUUAGGAUGAACUAUGUGCACUAAAGUAGUUGGCACCGUACAUAACAUUGGACAAUCAAAUAAAUUGGCACAGUAAUGAUGGCCAUGGUCAUGGCCCCAACCAAAGCCGGCGACGGGGAUGGGGACGGCGACAACCUUGACUUUAGCCGUAUGCAUUCAGCAGUAUUACGUAACAAUUUGCUUGUCAUAUAAACUGUAUUUUUUUUCUAUAUUUUCAGUCAUCAUUAUUUAGACCAGCGAACAGGCUCAUAGAAAAUGAUCAUAUCAUACGCACGGAUGUACAUGCAUCACCCAACAUGAGAGCCUUUUUUUAAGAAUGAAUUGAACACGCGAAUUGAUCGUCUCUCUUCAACAAUAAACAAGAUUAAGAGAGUAGGAGACUGAAUUACUCUACGAUAAUCAGUGGCGGAGCUAGAGCAACUACAAAGGGGGUGCGCUUACCUUAUGGGUGCGUAUAAUUUUACUAUGUGGGUGCGAAUAUGGUGAAAAUUUAACUAUAAUCAGUGUUUUUUUAUAUAUUUGUGAGUGCGGCCGCACCCAGUACGGUCUAUAUAGAUCCGCCCAUGACGAUAAUAUGUUGUACUAAUAUACAAAUUAUAUACUAACAAUAGAGAUGAAAACGGUACGGAUAUUUUCUCACCAUAUUCGAGACCGAAUUCGUUUAGAGGGGUUCAGAUCUGUCCGUAUUCGAGUCCGAAUAUUCAACAUCCGAUACCGUAUUCGUAUCCGAAUACUUAAAUCGUAUAUUUAUGAUGUCGACAUCUAAUCCUAUCUUAUGCGAUAUGGUUGACAUUAUCCGUAUUCGAAUCCGAAUCCGACCAAAAAUAUAAAAACAAAUAUAAUAUUGGUCAUAUCAGUCCGUAUCCGAUCCGUUUUCAUCUCGAGCAUCAUUUCUCAAGCACUGAGGUGGUGACCACUGAGGUACCCACGGAUACAGAGAAGGGGAGUACGUAGAUUUUUUUUUUUUUGAGAGGAAGAUAGGAUAUAUAUUAUCACUUUGAAGUGUUUACAAUUUACAUAAAUAGAUACAGGAGGGGACUCAAACCAUAUAUAUCUUCCAGAAUCAAAAGUACAUACGAACUUUGCAAUCAUAUGAGCCUCCCUAUUGAACAUCCUACCUUCAUGUGCAAACUGCACAUAAUUAAAAGACUUUGAUCUUUUAUAGAUGUCUUGAAGAAUCAUCAUAUAAGGACAUCGAGGCAUCUCCCUGAUGUUUUUUAUAACAUUAAGACAAUCUGAAGCAACAAUGAAACUCUUGAUUCGACAAUCUUCAGCAAGAGCGAGAGCCUCUAAACAAGCCAUUGCUUCUAGUGUUUCCGGAUCAAUUAUAUAUGGUAUCACCAUAGCGCUUGCAGCAAUAAAUUCUCCCUGAUCAGUACGGCAUACAGCUGCCACUACACCUUUUGUUCCUGAUCGGUCAAUAGCAGCAUCUGUAUUAAUCUUGUUGAUACCAUUUUGAGGAGAUAUUAAUUUUGGAGUUGUUGACUUGUUUUGAUAGUGAUCUUUCUCCUUGAAAUCAAUUUCUUGAACAAAUUCAAAUUCUUCUAUCAAGCGAUUAGUCAUCAUCAUAAUAGAGAGAGGACUUUGGAAGAUCCUGUCAUGAAUAGCCUUUCUCCUAGCAUACCAGAUGGCCCAACAAGUAACCAAGAUGCGAACACCAUCAGCUUUUGGAAUAUUGCAGCAUAUAUAUGAAAUCCAAUGCUUUGGGUCAGAGAAGUGUAAUGAAGCUAAUAAAUCCAACAAAUCUUCAUCCAUUAGUACCCACACACACUUUGAUAUAUUACAUUGUAGCAACGAAUGAAUCCAAGUAUCUUCUUCUGCCCCACAAAUCUUGCAAUUCGUUGUAGCUGCAAGGUUCUUGUUCUUCAAAAUAGUACCAGUAGGUAAAGAGUUAUGUGCCAAACGCCAACAAAAAACUUUGAUUUUUGAUGGUAUCUUCAUACUCCAAAGAUGUUUCCAUUCAUUCUGAAUUCUUUGGACAUUAGAACAAUUGCCUCGACUUUCAAGGUAGUCCUCUCUAUUUUUCUUUGUUUCAAUCAACAUCCUGUAUGCAGAACGAACAGUGAACAAGCCAUUUCUUUCAUGAUGCCAUGCCCAACAAUCUUCUUGUUUUCUCAUGCUGAGAGGAAUUUUAAGGAUUACAUCACUGUCAAAUUCAAAGAAACAACUCCUUACCAAAUCAGCUUUCCAUCUCAUAGAAGUGUGAUCAAUCAGUUCACUUACUAGAGUUGGAGGCUGAGGAACUUUGGAGGCUAUAGGUCUGAACAUCCCAGUUCUUGGUAUCCAAUUGGAAGCCCAAAUAAGAGUGCUUUCACCAUCUCCGAUACGCUUAAUCAAUCCUUGUUUCAACACAUCAAUCCCAUCACAUAUAGCUCUCCAUGUCUUAGAUGGAUUGGAACCAGUAUAUGCACUAAGAAGAUCACCUGAGGGGAAAUAGAUAGCCCUUAAUAAUUGUGAGCAUAUAGAUUGAGGAUUAACAAGAAUGCGCCAGGCUUGCCGAGCUAACAGGGCUAAAUUGAAAAUUUCUAAAUCUCUAAAUCCAAUUCCCCCCAUAUACUUAGGUUGGACCAACUUCUCCCAUGCUAUCCAAUUUGUUUUUCUUUUGCCUCUAUCACAUCCCCACCAAAAUUUUCGCAACAGAGAAUUUAAAUGAUCAUAUAAACCUUUUGGCAAUCUGAAACACCCCAUGGUAUAGGUAGGAAUUGCUUGGGCAACAGCUUUGAUUAAAACUUCCUUCCCUCCAGCAGACAAAGUUUGUUCUAUCCAACCUUGAACUUUAUUCCAAACUCUAUCCUUAAGAUACUGGAAAGCCCCAAUUGUUGAUCUUCCUACUUCAGUAGGAAGACCCAAAUACUUUUCAUUUAAGGAUUCAUUUCCAUAUGAAGUAUAGAUUUAAUUUCAUUACGGGUGAUUUUGCCUACAACCCUUGCUAAAAAAUAUAGAAGAUUUUGCUAGAUUUACCUUUUGACCCGAGGCAUUGCAAUAUUUUGAUAUAUAAUCUUGCACCAUUCUUGCUUCACUUGUUGUAGCCUUAAAAAAUAGAAGACUGUCAUCAGCAAACAGAAGAUGAUUGAUUUUUGGAGCUGUUUGCACAAUCUGAAUUCCUUGUACACCAUUUUCACCUUUUAGCAUACUCGAAAAACCUUCAACACAUAACAAGAAUAAAUAGGGUGAAAUUGGGUCUCCUUGUCUUAUUCCUCUUGUUGGUUUAAAUUCUUGCAGCUGCUCUCCAUUGAACAAGACUGAAAAAGAAACAGAUGUAACACAUUUCAUAACUUUAUCAACCCAAGAUCGAGCAAAACCCAAUUUUAGCAUUAUAGCUUCUAAAUAGUUCCAUUCAACUCUAUCAUAGGCCUUUGUCAUGUCUAAUUUUAGAGCACAAUGAGCAUUAUUUUUUGAUCGGCUUGUACGCAUAAAAUGCAAAUGGAGACAGAGGGUGAGGAAACAGCGUUGUCAAGUUUCAGCGUGGGCUGUCUUGUCCAUCACGGGGGUCACACUCACAGCGAGGCCCAAGCCCAACCGCCCAAGCCAGACAGGAAUCUCCCGCAGGGCCCUCAUGCUAGUUUCCGAAGACGUGGGCUCGAUCCGUUACGAAGAAACGGGUCAGGACACGAUGAAAUCUUAAUCCAGCCCAAUACAUAUCCAUCCAGUAGUAUAACGCUGCGGCAUCGGAGGCAGCGUGAUUCGACCGGCGCAUUUUCUUUUUUUUUUCUUUUUUUUUUUACGCAGAACCGGCGCGUGUAUAGUUGCAAAACCUUGUAGAAAAUUUAGCAAAAUCUUGCAACCAGUCAUAUAUGAGGCCGACAAAAAACCUUCGACUGACUAGUCAUUCGACAAGCAAGCUCUUAAAUAAACAAAUUAACUUUCGAUGGACAAAUUAAAGUGGCCUCAUUAGUAUUGCUGCUUGGUCUCGAGAGGAACAAAAGCAUUUUUUGUUUCCCCUGCUGCAACCUCUUUUUUGAGGAAUCUGGAGGGACCAAAGUUCCUACAUUGAAUUUAUUAAAAGAACAGGAGUUUAUAACAAGAAAAACUGACAGGGAGCAAGAGGGAGAAGAAGGGGCGAGAGAGAGUCUAAGAGAGAAAAAAAAAGAGUAAGACAGAUGAAUCCAUGAAUUAAACUGCUCUCUAGACUUGCUUUAACUCUGAAUUUGAGCAAAGAAAGCUCAUUCAGAAAAAAUCUUGUGCAGUCCUGCUGAUUUCUCUGAAUUCAUCUGAAGAUAAGGUCAUUUCUUGCAGACCGAAUUCUCCAGCACAUUAAGAUAAUUGCAUCCACAAAAAAUUAAGAGUUCAACUGAUCUUUUAUCUGCAAGGUCAGCUCAGGAAAGCUGCAUUUUAAGGUAAAAUAAUGCCAAUCAUAUCACAGCAUAAAGCAGCGAAAGGACAUUCAACAAAGAUAUGCUCAACCGUUUCUUAUGUCAGGAGGUUAUACAAAGCACAAUUAGGCUCUGUUUGACACGGCUCCACUUCACUAAGGAAGCCAUUUUUUCGGGCUUCAGCUCUGAAGCCGUUUUGGUAAAUCAUUUAGCAAAAAUAGUUAUACAUAUAGAGUUUCUUAAAAUAUAUUCUCACACGAUGUCAUAUAGGAUAAGG
This 59496-nucleotide long non-coding RNA is filed under the name Sorghum bicolor (sorghum). RNAcentral describes it as "long non-coding RNA (SBIC_LNC009610)". The stretch from base 32591 to 32729 matches the Rfam family "Small nucleolar RNA Z247". Lineage: Eukaryota; Viridiplantae; Streptophyta; Magnoliopsida; Poales; Poaceae. The record is from RNAcentral.